Molecule: long non-coding RNA, 76881 nt
Filed under: Coffea arabica (coffee)
Lineage: Eukaryota; Viridiplantae; Streptophyta; Magnoliopsida; Gentianales; Rubiaceae
Description: long non-coding RNA (CARA_LNC005803)
Source: RNAcentral
CCUCAUUCUUCAAUGACUUGCCAUCUUUUUCAGCCAUCAAUCAUCCCUUGGAUGAAUUUUCCUCAUAUUGCGGCCAGGUAAGGAAGAAUGUAGAAUUUCAGCUUGGCCGAUGCAAGACGCUAUUUUUGGUCCCCGAAAGGCACUAAUUUUCUCACCUAUUUGAUCCUUUUAUGAAAAGGCUGCGUAAGCGCUAUCCAAAUGCUGUAACAGAUACCUUUUCUUAGUGAAAAUAGCAGAAAAGAUUCCUUCAAGAAAAAAAAAAAGAAGGCACAAAAGAUGGGGAAAGAAACAACUCGUUCCAGCGUAGCUUGUCCUUGGCAUAAUCCUGAUCUUUUCUUUUUAUCUCUCAACUACUAGAAUCAAUAUAUUUGAACCCUAAACUUAGUAGCGAAGGAAACUCUAAAAAUUCUGUUCUGACCACUGAAUCACUGAACCAGCUCCAGUGAUACUAAUUAUCCUAUCUCAACUGCUAAGAAGAUUUAUGAAAGAAUCAAAAUUUGACUCCCAAAUUGUACAUAAGGCCUGAGAUUUGGGUGGUCAAGACUUACACUGUGAGAGACCAUAUCAUCUACAGUAAAAUUUUGGUGGAGGAAAGACCAAGUUUGAAUUUAUUACGGGGUAGAACUAAAAAUUAAACAGAUUUUAAGGCAUUCAACUCUGAUUUUCAAGCUCUUGGGGGGCUUGCCAUCGAGCCAUGGCAAAGUUGGAAACAAGAUCAGAAAUAAAAACCAGUAAGAUAACACGCUGAAGAGCUACGUGUAACAUGAGUUUUGCUGUGCAUGUGGAUGAGUCUCAGUCGCAAAUCUGAGUAUCCUAACACGUGUACAUCUCUAAUCACAUAUAUAUGACAAGAUUUUAGACACGUUAACGCUUUACAGGUAGAGGCAAAUUGAGAGAAAGAGAGGCAAAAAUGGAGUCAACUAAGGAGAGAAGAGAGCAGGUGGAGAAGGAGCAAAGGGAACAAAAGGGAGGUGUUGAUCCAAUAGCCAAGGCUAGGGAGGUACUUCAAGAAGCUGUCAUCAGCAAAGAUGAUGGAAAGGCUCAGGGCGAUAAUAAUGACGAGAAGGAAGCAGCAAAAGACCCUGAUGACAUUUUGGUUUUUGCUAGAGCUGUUCACCACACUGAUUCCUCGCUUGAUUGAUAUAUAGCUAUCACAAGUAUCUAUGAAGUGUAAAUGAGACGAAGAGGGUUUUAGAGGUGACUGGCCAGUCUAAGUUACUGUACAAUUUUCAGUUUGUUUCAAUAUGUGAGUUGGAAAUCACAAGUUUAAAUUGUUCUUCUCAUUCUUGAUUCUUAAUUCUUUACGGAAAGGAGAGUAGCAAAAGCAUGACAGGAUUGAUUAUGCACAACAUAAUUUUGGGUCGGAAGGAUACUGCAGAUGUUAAAUAUUCACUCCAGAUUUGCGAGUUGCAACCAUAUAUCACCUCAGAGAUCUAAGCCAAGAAAAGAUUGUUCCAUAUGAAAAAUCGAAAAAGAGUCUUAAUUUCUCCAAAUUUCUCCUAAAUUUACCAUAAAAUUCACUAUAAUUCUAUGCUAACAUGAAAAGUUUUUGUUAUUUGUGAAAAUGGUUGUUCUCAGGUCCACUAUUGGAGAAUUAGAAUUGAGAGAAAGGUGGAAGGGUGUUUCUUUCAUCGAAUUUGUAACUUGCCUGGUACAUCUUCUUAGUUAUCGGAGAGAUCAUUAGAGUAUAUCACUUAGGUCCUUUGCAAGUAGGAUGAAGUAACUAAAUCCAUUUUUGUCAAGCUUUGUGCUCAUGGCAUGUAUCUUAAUAUGAGAAAAAGAUAAAGAGAAUUUAUAAUGAAAUGACAAAAAGGACAAUAGUGCAUGUUUCCAACCAUGAAUUUUUAAUUCAGAUGCUUUCUAUCGGUCACAUUGAAGACUUGAGCUAUGCAUACAGCCAUACGGGUCCAGACAUUGGAUGUCUUUUACUACUCUCAUCUCCAUACCAAUUUACAUUUUUAUAUACGAAAUGGGAUUGCUAAGUUAGUGAAGUUACGGCUACCAUCCUGGUCACUACGCUCAGCAAUUUCCUUUAAACUAGUCCAAGAUUUUCUCUUCCGCUUGCUUGAUGGUAUGGAAGCUUUCUUUGCAUCAACAGGAACAGAACUGCUUUCUGAUUCAACAAUUUUCUUGGAUCCUGAUCUAGUCCUUUUCCUCUUUCUUGUAUCCAACAAAGUCCCAACUUUAGCCGAGGGAGUUGUAGAACUGUCAUUCACAGGAUCCUUGUUAAUUAUUUCUUGUGAAGCAAUUCCAUCCACCUUGGACAUGGGAUCAUUUUUGCUUGCUGUAAUGACCUUUGCUUUGGCAAACUUUGGAUGACUUGAUUUAGUAGGAUCUGAUUUUGAAGAGACUUUGGGCUUCGAUGGACACAACUCUUUCAUGUAGCCUUUCGGGGUUCCUCUCUUCAAGUUUCUAUGUGAACAAAAGUGGCAGCUGUAAACCACACUAUUUUCAAUCGAAAGACUACGUUUCUUGCGCCUUCGCUUUGGAUUUGGUUUUAUCUUCUCAAUCCGAACCGUACAAUUAUAGCCAGGUUGAAGAAUAGAUUCACACCUGUAGAAAAAUUACAAUGGUAAUCAAAACAUUAGACACGCAGAUGAAUGUUUGUAUUAUAAUCCACCACCAUGGUGGUAACAACAUUAAGCUUGUACUGCAGUAUCUCCUUUGCUUCUAUACAAUCAAGAAAAAUGGUGUUGCAAGAAUCGAUCUUUAGUAGCAAAGAGCCAGAAGGAACCAUCCAGGCAGUGAAAACAUCUAGAAAUAUGGGUGAGCAUCGUUGCAUCAGCCAUCUGCAUAAAGGGUUAUAUUAGGACUUCAUUCUACAUCUAUGCUUCCUUACUUCACUUUCUUGCUCUAGAUGAGGGCAACUAGAUAAUAACUUGGGCCAAUGAGUGUUGUACUCAGACCUAUAUGUCAGUUUUAGGAAUGAUAUUACUUCCAAAACAAUUCGUUGCAGUAGAAAUACCAGUUAAUCUUCGAGUCAUGAAAUUCACUAGCUACUCCUAGAUAGAAGCACAAACAAAAUAUGUUUAUCCGAAACAUCAAGCAUGUUUGAGGAGAUUGGUUUCACGGAAGUAUUUUCCCAAAAUACGGUAAGACGGCCUUCUAUAAGCUACUAGAGCAAAUUCUACAAGAACGUUGUGUGUAAAAACUUGAUUGUCCAAGACAAUUUACUCCAUUACAGAGAAGAGGUCAUAAUCUGAUAGACAUACACGUAAUUUAACUGUACCGCAUCACAAACCAAAGCCUUUAAGCCUCUAAAAUUCCUAGGAACUAAUCAUGGAAGCACUAAAUCAAACUCAAAAACGUUACUACUGAAAUAGAACACAACAACUCUAAUACAACCAAAUAGGACUUGUAUCGAACAUGUAGAAUACACCACAAGUAGAAAGCACAAAACAAUAGGAAAAAAGGGAAGAAUUUAGGGGACCUCUGGCAGGAGAACAAUGAAGGGUCAGGAGGAACACCCAAGGCUUCAGCAGUGGCAGCCAAGCGGUAGCCGAAAAAAGCACCUAGUGAAGAUACGGAAGCUUCGGCAGUAGCCCAGAUAGCGAGGUUUUUAAGGUGGUCCAAUUUCAACAUGGACUUGGGAUUUACGCUGCUCUGUUUCUUUCCGCUAGAUUCUUCUCUCAUUGUUCCUGAAGGAGCCUGCUGCAAGUGUGGCUGUGAAGAUAUUGCCGCUGCUGCUGCUGUGGAUGAAUUAUUCUUCUUACCCAUCGCUACUCAAAUUUGGAAACUCAAUAAAAGUAUCAAAAUAUGUUUUAAACACUUGAUGAGGAAUCGCAGCCACAAUAUCAAGAGCAGUAACAGUAAGAUUCAAACUAGUAAAUAGUCUGAUAAUACCUGAAACAAAAAAGAAAAAGAAUCAGAUAAUUACCCAAAUCAACUUAGCUAGUUGGUGGGGUUUUGAUUGUUUGGACCAACGAAAUAGAAUAGAAAGCAGUGCCAGAGAGUGGCAGCAGCAGGGAAGAAGAGGGAGGAAUGAUUGAGGGACGGAAUAAAAGGAGAGACUCAAGUCGAGGCCGCAUGAGUCUUAUGACUUACAGUCUGGGCUGGGUCAAGAUGGGUUCGAGACAGUUUAGCCCAGGUCAUGGUAUUCAGUCCAAAUAACUACUACUAGUCUACUACUUGUUUUCUUUGUGAACAGAUUUCGACACAAAAUAGUGCGGGAUAAUUUCAUAAACCCCCCUGAGGUUUUUUAUAAUUACAACCACCACCUUUAAAGUUUGAAAAAUUACACUCAUCCGUGCGUCCGAUCAGAUAUUGGCUUCAGCCUCCCUGAGGUGACUGCAAUUGUUUAAAAAACUCAAGGAGGUUCCUGAAAUUAUACCGUGCAACAAUGAACAUAUUGGCUUCAGCCUCCUCGCUCCCAAACUUUAACUAACACAAGAUAAAAUUUUUAUACUCCAACAAAAACUUUUCAUGUUAGCAUAGAAUUAUAGUGAAUUUUAUGGUGAGAGUAUUUAGUAAUUGGAAAAAUGUAGUUUGGUCCAUUCUAAUUUGGUCCAUACAAUAGGAACUACUUCCAUAUAAUAUGCCAUCCAUGUAAUUCUCUCUAGCUUACUCCCUAUUAACAUGAGGUGGUUUAGGUAUAACAACUGGAGUUUUAUAGACUUCAAGAGCUGCAUAUCCUGCUGCUAGGACUGAAGUGGCAGCACCAAUUACAAUAGCAUCCUCAUCAUCAUCACUACCUGGAUCCAUAUAUGAAAAUUUAAUAUAAUUAUUAAUUGAUUGCAUGCAUAUAAUCGUUAAUUAGGAUUUAAAGAUGUACUUACCAAUGGAAUACCUUAGCGAAUGUGUAAGAAGGAGUACGAUUACUUGAACAGAAAUUCACAACAGAAAUCCAACUGCCGCCCAAAACCAUGAUGCCAAUAAGAUUACUUGUUUGGGUAAUAAACAUUUAAUUCACGUAGCAGUAGACUAUUAGUAGUGUACCAGAAAAAGCCAGAGUGAUGCAGGGGUCUCAAAUGCAGAGUGAUGCAGGUUAUACCAAUAGCAGUUAAUGUUCUCCUUCAAUGUGGGCGGGCCCAAGAAGUAUAAGAGUAUAUAAAGGACAUAGGAAAAGAAAGUUUGCUUGUGUUCAUAGUUCAGCUGUUUCAGCACCCGAGACAGAGGAAAAGAAACAAUAUGAUUGUGUAGUCUCCUAAAACUUCUGUUAGCUACUUCAUUACUUUUUCCCAGAAAACCCCUUCCAAUGAAUCACGUUAAAAAGUGGACAGGAUUGGUAAAACAAUCUUGCUGCUGAAAUCUGACAUUAAAAUAGGAGAGUGCAACUGUCUGUACAAAUGUUGCACGAAAUCUGCAUGAACAUGCAAAUACUAUGUCCCGAAGUGAUCUGUGGCUUUUCUUUCUGAUUAAACAUCUAUACAGGUCCACUUCAGUUUACAGGAAAGACAGCAAACGAAAUCAAUUAUGUGCUUAUGUUGGAGCUUGGGGCACAGGCUUAGCCCUAUUGGCUUGAGCUGGUUCUACUUGUGAUGACACAUUUCAAUAGAACUGAACUCAUUCUUCAAAUAUAGAAUUUUAAGUAGGACGAAUAUAGUCAGACAUUAUAGGAUCUGUUAUGAUUCACGAAAAACAAGAAUAUCAUGAUAGCUUGUUAACUGCAACGCUGGGAGAUUCUUUGCUCUCUGGGAUGAACACAAGCAAACUGUUUUCCUCCCUAAUCAGAUUUUGUCAACUAUUUACAAAUGGUCUCACCAGACUGUAAGAAAAACACUACCCUACCCUACCGGGAUUCUGAUUCCAAGAAUCAUAAAACCCCCAAAACUCAGCAGCCAAAUUAAUUCAUUAGCAUCAAUCAAAUCAGAUUUAACCCUAAUCAGGUAAGAACAAACUAAAACAAAAGCAACCCACAAAAAUUCAUUCAAAUCCAACUUCAAGAAUCUACACCAGUAAUUCUAGACAAUUUUUCAAAGGAAAAGGGAGGAAAAAAAAACUAAUAAGAGACCAUCAUACCUCUGGAAAUACUUAAGGAGUCUUCACCCUUGUUGGAAAUGCUACUGUAGGAACGGGAAUGAGAUUGUGCUUAGGCCGUCAAACAAGCUUCUGAGGCUGCAUAAGCAAACGCAUCCACAAUGGCGGGCACAGCUCACAAACAAAAAGCAGACUGAAGAGACAGAGAGGGAGAUGGUUACCGGCCGCAAUGGCUAAGUCUAGUUCCGCUGACUAGAGAAAUGGACCACACAAACGCAUCCACACAUGACUUGAGCCGUUGAUAUUGGCCGCUUUCAAAGGAAAAAAAUGAGAGAGAGAGAGAGAGAGAUGCCGGAGUAGCUCACCUGAUGAGAUGCCGAAGAGAGAGAUGCCGGGAAUGAAAGUUAUUUUCCUGAUGAGAUGUCGCUGAUGAGAUCGAAAACCCUUGCUGGAGGCGUGAAAAGAAGAGGAAAGUAACGUCACAAAUAUAAUUUAUGAGGCGAGUUUGAGUUCACUAAGGCUGGAUUCAAAAAGUCAAUUGAUAUCAAUGUCAAUUUUAGAUAUGAUGGAUUGUUAAAGAAUUCCCCAAUCCUGCCACUACAACUAUGGAGAAUUUUUUUUUUUUUUUUUAAGAAAAAGAAAAUUAUAUAGGGCAAUUACCGGAUAACCAUCUUGUUCCAGGGCUUCUAUAAAAUCCCAACCCAACACUUGGCGCCUUAAAAUUUUCGGACCCGGAAGAAACCGCCUAGCUAGCUUACUAGCUCAUGACAUUUGCCCUCUCUGGUGCGAACACUCUCUCUCACACUGGGACACACAUUAAUCACACACAGUAAUCGCAAUGGGUAAUCGGAGGUUCACUCAGAUGCCGCCGAGCGAUGACGAGGACGACGGGCCACCGCCACCACCUCCGCCGCCGCGGCGGAGCUCAGCGAACGGUGACGACGAGAAAACGAACCAAAGGAAGCGGAAGAAAAUGAAGCUCGUCGACGAAGCAGAAGAUGAAGAAAAGCAAGUGAAGGAAGACAGUGUCAGAGAUAGGAAGAAGCAAAAGAAAGUGAUCAAAGAAGAAGAAGCAACUGCGGCUGAGCCUAGCGGUGAUGAGGAGGAGGCUCCUCAGGAGGACGCCAAGCCUAUUGGCGAUGUAAUUAGGGCUUCGGGAAAAGGAAGAGGGAGGAGGAAUCACUAUGAGGCCUUCGAAUAUGAUGGAAUGCGAUAUGAUUUGGUAAAUAUUAAUUCGAAAUUCUCGUUAAUUGGAUUCAUUUCUUGGGUAAUACAUAUGCUCAUAAGUAAGCAUUUCAAACAAAUAUCAUUGCUGAAUUGUAUGCAACUUUGUUGAAUACUUUUAGAAAUUAGUUGUAAUUGUAAGCUUCGACCCAUUAAUUAGAAGUUGAGGCUAAAAAAGGGUUCUUUUGUGCAGAACAAGAAAUAGAGUUCAUACAAGCCAUGUUAAAUGAAACUAAUAAGCACGAAAAAUACAAAGUAAGGUUCCUGCUACGGUUAUGUCUGUAUGUUCGUGGUACAUGUGAAGGGUUAGAGAGGGAGAAAGAGUCUAUCUUAUGUUCCUUUUUUUUGGUUCCCUACAAAUGAUGUGAGAAUUCUCUUACUCUAGAUUUCAAAUAACUUCAGGAGGAAUUAUUUGAAAUCUGUUGCUAUAUAGCUGAAACUCAUGUAGGGUGGAUUUAAAGCCCUUUAUGCCCAAUUCAUCCGCCCAAUGAAAAUUUUCCGGGUCAAGCUGUUAUAUGUAUCUUUGGAGCUUUGAAUCAGGGACUCAGAGUCCUGUGUGUAUUGGACGAAGGGGAACCCGCAAAUGUAGUAUUAGGAGGAUCUUUUGAUAGGAAAAAGCUGACCAUGAGAGGAGACAAGGAAGACUAUGUAUGGGGCAUGAAAUUCUAGGCUUUCUGUUUCUACCAUUUUAAUUGAAAGUAAAUCUUUUAUAGUGCAAAUGAUCCUUAGCUGGCAUGGUGCAACGAAUGUCAAUUAUGGCAACCUUUUUCUAAGUGGUCAUUUGAGCAUCACAUGAGCAUCUUGUUGUAUGUACUGCUGUUUGCAUGUGUCCAUUUGGUGGCUGUGAAAUCAUGUGGAACUUGUUUGACGCUUCUGUUGUUGCUUUUACUUUACCACACAUGAUUGAUGACCACAAUAAUAUUUACCUUCCUAGAACUCCUUUUUCUUGAUAAAGUUGUGAAUUCUAUACUGAUUUGGUGUGGGAGGCAAAACAAUUGGAUAUAUUAUCCAUAUGAAAGUUUAUACAUCUUAAAAUGCUGAAAGCAUCUGUUAGUCAAGCCUACUUAUUUUAGUAGACUUUGGGCAUGUACCAGGUUUCUGGCUCCUACUGAGCUAAAAGUUAUUUUGAGUUUAUCUUAAAUGCACAUGGCUUUUGCUAUGCGCUUAAUGUAAGCUGAAGAAGCUGGACUGGAAAUACAGCCCCUGAGGUGGUUGCAGAAACACUUUUUGGCUUCUUUGGAACUUUUAAACCAAAAGCAUGCUUUCAACCGUUAAAAAGCUUAUUUGAUGAAUACUUUCUUCAAAAAAGCUUUAAAAGGCUGAAGAAUUUCAGAUGAGGCUCUGUUUUUGAUGUAAAAAGCUUAUUUGAUGAAUACUUUGUCAAUAAGCUGAAGUCUAAAAGAUUCAUUAGAAUUUUACUGCUUUUAGGAAAAUAUCCGAAUAUGUAUGAAGAUUUUUUGCUAUGCUCUUCCUGAUAAUGAAGAAGAAGAGAGAGAAGCGAAGUGGACAAAAAUGUAUAUUGCAAGAAAUUAUUAACAUGUAUCACAUCUGAUCUAUUUAUGUAUUGUAUCCAAACAUAUUCCUGUGUUGAGAUGCAAGCAAUCAAUUACAGUAAAAUAAAAUUUUAUAAAAAGCAGUCAUAUGAAGAAUGUUUGAGAUCUUGAUCAGGAAUUCUGUGUUUCAUUACAUGAUGGUCAAUAUAUCUGCCCCUUUUAGAAGCAAUUACUAGUAAAAUAGUUUCUGUAGAUAUAUUUCCAUGUCUAACUUGCUUUAGUUUUGUAUCUUUGAUUUUGCAAUAGGAGGAUCCUGUGCUCUUAGUGCCUGAGGAAGCAAAUCAGAAGCCUUAUGUGGCCAUUAUCAAGGUAUGUGUGAAUUGUCAUAAACCCUGUUGCACAAGCUGAACAUGAAGACUGAAGAUUAUAUACCCAUUCUAUAUUUUUGAGGAUAUUUCUAUUUUAUACUGCAAGUGUGCAGUAAUGUGAAGAAAUUAUGAAGAAGAAUGAAAGAGACAUAUAUAACAAGUAUUUUUCAUGGUUUUGCUAGUCCUCUUGCCAUUCUUUCUAUUUCCCAGUGGGGGUUAUAUUCCAGUGGACUUUUUUUGUUUAGCUAAUGAGCUGUCUCAUAGGCUUCUUUGGUGGUGGAUCAUUUUGUUGUGCUAUUGGGCUUUGAAACUAUAGAAUUGUUGAAUAGACUCCUUAAUGUACCUUACGACUUCCUGAGUUUUCUGUCCUCCACAUUGCUUCAAUAAUGGUUGUCAAAGGCUGAUUGUUGAAAUGGUUUUGCUAUAUUCAAUGCUGUUUUCAGUUUUUUCUUUUUCCCUAAAGAUUAUCUAUAUUGGUUGUCUAGAGCAUUUACCUGGUCCCUUAGUGGCAUACACGCUUUAUAGGUGAAAGGCCUAAUGCGUUGUUGUUAGUUGGUUUUUGUGCAAAUGAUUGUAUUAUACUGGAGUACGUUGAUACUGGUUUUUCGGCAUCAGUAGGUUGGCAAAUUUGCAGAGAAUGUUUCCAGUUGUGUAGAAUUGGUAUUUUUCCAGUUGUGGCAAAUUUGCUUCUGUUUUCAGGACAUAUCUCAGACAAGAAAUGGGAGCUUGAUGGUCACUGGGCAAUGGUUUUAUCGUCCUGAAGAGGCAGAAAAGAAAAGUGGUGGUAAUUGGCAAUCCACUGAUACGCGAGAGCUGUUUUAUAGUUUUCACAGGGAUGAGGUCCCAGCAGAAUCUGUCAUGCACAAGUGUGUGGUGCAUUUUAUACCUCUGAACAAGCAGAUUCCCCCACGGAAGCAACAUCCAGGUUUCAUAGUGCAAAGGGUAUACGACACUGAACAAAGAAGGCUUUUCAAGCUUACAGAUAAAGAUUAUGAAGACAACAAACAGGAAGAGAUUGAACUCCUUGUUCAGAAGACAAUGUCACGCUUGGGAGAUCUUCCUGACAUCGAGCCAGAGGAGGCAGCUACUGAUCAGGAACAUCAGUUGAGAAACAAAAGACUGUUGAGGAAGAAGAGCAUGACUCAGUUGGAUGUUUCCCGAGAGGAUGAAGCAUCUACAAGAUCUGGGCAGUCUUUUAAAGCUGAGACUCCAGGAAGUUGUGCUAGUAAUGCAUCAGAAUAUUACACCAUUCUUUCAAGCUUAAAGGCCCUGACUGGUGAAACACAGCGGGACAAGUGGUUGGAAAGGCUGCUUCAAUCGAUUCAGUUUAUAUGCACUACCGCUGAUGGGGGUCCGGGUGAUGGAAAGGGGCUAGCAGCUCCUGCAAAUGGAAAUGAGGUCAAGAAUCUUAAUGUAAUGGCAAACUUCUCUUUCAUCAGCUUUUCUAAGAGUAAUUUGACACCUCAUAUCGUGGUGGUUCUUCACUACUACUAUAGUUUAUCUACAAGAAUCUGCAAAUUGGCACUGGAUGAUCUUUUCUAUUAUAUAAUUGUUUAAUUUAAUUUAUAUGUUCAGAGUGGUUUGCCUUUUCACUGGCCGGACAGCGCUGUUGCUGCUAUAGCUGCUCUUGAAAAGGCUUCUCAUGAAGCUUUAUCCUCAGACUUUCAGAAGUAUAACCAAAAGAUGCGGCAAUUGGCUUUCAAUCUUAAGGUGAACAUUAUCUGUAUCUGUCAUGUGUGUGAUGAUUUAUUUUAUUCUUUAAGGUCUGCUUUCGUGAGAUGGGAUGAAAAUUGGAUUGUGGGUGAACUUAAUAUCCUGAAGUUUCAUGUUUCAGUGUUGUGAUGAUGAUGUCUUUCCUUUUCUAAAUAAAAGAUAAGGAAACCAUACUUUGUGGUCUUUUGAUUCCUGGAGCUAUCAUUCUUCCCAUCUUCUGAUUCUCUUGGGGGCUUUUUCUUUAAUUCUGAACCAUUUGCAGAACAAUGCAGUUUUAGCAGGACGACUUCUGAAGGGAGAGUUGGAGCCUUCACAAAUAUUGAGCAUGACACCUAAUGAGUUAAAGGUAUAGCUGUUACUUUUUUCAUGAUCUAUAAUUUCCGGAUGAUUCUCCUUUAAUCGUUCAUUCUAUUGGAUGAAUAAAUUGUUCUCUUCAGUGAUUCCUGUGUUGGCAAUCUUCGUAUUACACUUAGAUUCAUUCUAUAUUCUUGUACACGAAUAUGCAUCAUUUUUUAUUCGUAUAAUACAAUGCAUAAAUGGUGCAUGGUCCAGUUGUAUCCAUGACAUUAUGUACAGCUGGUCUAGUUUUCCUAACAUGGCUUUUUACUCCUGAUUUUGUAAUACUAGAUAAUUGCUAUCAGCAAUAUUUUUACCUUGUUAGCCUUUUCUUUUAUGCUUCAGGAGGGUUUGACAGCAGAGGAGAUAGCGAGUAGGAAGCCUGAGGAGUCAGAACACAGGCAGGUAAUCAUCUCGAUUUGUGGAUUUUCUGGAGAUUAACUCUUUAGUUUUGGAAGGAUAACUAAUAAAAACUUGCAUUGUGUAGAGAUAACUUUUUGAAAACUUGUUUUCAGUCACAUAGAGCCAGCAAUUUUCUCUUAUUUCGUGGAAUAUCAUCUGGAAUUUUGUCUAUAUGCCUGUAAAAAUUUCAGCCGUCUACCUUGGAACGAUGGAGUUUAUUAUUAUUAUUUGGCUGGAGCCAUGGAGAUUUAAAUGGACUAUAUGGGAAUUAGUUCUGGCUAUAGUUGUAUCCAUGAGAUUGACCUGACAAUACAGUAGUAGGUUUUCAUGGCUCCAUCGUGUUAGAAUUGUUAUUAUCUUUUUAAAAACGUUUCUGCGAUAUUUCUGGUGAGGAUAUUACUUUCUCUUUUUUUAGGCUAAAGGAUGUACAAGUGUUGUUAACGCUGUGAUUUGGCUUAUGAUACAGAUGACAGAUGCUCGCUGCAAAAGGUGCAUGGAGAAGAAAGUGGUUCUUAUAGAUAUAAUUCAGACUGGCCAUGGAGAUCGUUAUCAGGUUUGCACUCAUACGCAUUGAACUUGUUUCUCGAUUACCUUGCCUUGUAUGAAUGCAAGCAUAUUAUCUGCCAUAGUUCAUGUUAUUUUUUACUUAAUCCAGAUGCAAGAUAUACUUUAUCUUUCACUCUCUUUAGCUUGCUCACUCCUGGAUGUCCACUUGUUAAGUUGUACCAAUGUGCUAAUAUCUAUUUCUUCUUCUUUUUUUUCAAUCCCAAUUUCUCAUAAUUUUUCUGGGGUUUUUUUUGUUUUGUUGGUUUUAUCUUUUUCCCUUUUUCUUUUUGCCUCUUCUCUCUUUUGGUGAAUGGGAAAAAUUUUUUUUUUGUUUGGGGGGCUGAUCUUAAAGAGUAUGGUUGGCUGAUGUUUGUGUUACUUGAUCUUGAUGCUUAGAGGUAGAGGCGUUUAUUUUCCACAACAUACACUGAGAAAUUGAAAAGUGUAUAGGUUCAUGCAGCAAUGAGAGUAAGUUUUUCGAUACUGCGCUUCAUCCCUAGGUUAUGUAGAAAGGAGUCAGUUUUGAGGAUGAGCCUGCUGUCAACUUAUACAUCGUACCCCAGUUCCUUUUUUUUUUUUUUUGGUUUUCCCUUUUCUGGGCGGUGUGGAGUUUCCAUUGACUUCAUAUUUUCCCCCAUCCGGUCUUGGUGAAAUUUGCAGCUGGAGUGCAAUGCUUGUGGCAACAACUGGUAUGCUUCAAGUGAUGAAGUAUCUACGUUGACGAUAGAUGAGCCAAGUUCUGCGAGGACUGUUGGAACUGUACCUUUGGCGACUGCCAAGUUCGAAGAUGUGGAAAAGAAGUUGGUUAGUCCUCGUAGACAUGACAAGUCAGCCGAUGAUGGGUUUAAGAAGACGAGUGAAGCUUUUGUGCCCGUGCUGGACAGCCAGAAAUAGUCAUGGAAGCCUGCCUAAAAGUAUAUAUAAAUUAUUAUGAUACUCUACUAGAUACUAAUGGUGCUACGCGAAUUUUUAGGAUUUUUCUUGUCUAUGAGAUUGGCCCGCGUUAGAGACUAGUUUGGAUGGGUAAUCAUGCCUAGGUGUAUUAUAUAUAGACAUAGCAAAUGUAACACGCGGGAACCUUUGCAUAGUGGAGCUUUAGGCUUAUAUAGGAAUAGGAGGAGGAUGUUUGUCUAGUGAGUAAAUCCAUAGGUGAGAGCUUUGGUUAUUAUUAUGGUGUACAAAGUGGGCAGCGUGUUUUUAUUCCCGACAAAGCCAACACCGAUUCUGCGGCUACUACUUGCGCUUAAUGUUUAAAGUUUACUACCUCUUCAAAAUUCCAAAAUGGGGUAAGAGGACAUAUAAUUUUGAUAAAUAAAUCCCAUUUCAUCACGUGCGCACCGUGUAUAAUAGUCCUAGGUGUGUUUUAGUACCUGGAAACCAAAACCUAUAAGGAGCCGCCAUUCCUUCAAGGUUGUACGAUUCCCGCCUCCGUAGAUUUUAUCCUUCCAAAUUUGUAAGGCAUCCUAUUCUAUCGACUGUAUGAUGGUGCCAUUACUCUGCUAAUUACAGAGAAUCUCAACCCUUCAUGGCCUCUCAUUGUAUCUUUUGAGAAAGCAAGCAAUGCAAACUAGGAGUUUGAACUCUUCCAAUCUCCUGCAGCACAACUUUCCCAGCCUCGACCCCUAAGGAGUAAGACCCCGAGAUCGAGGAAUUGGUCAGAGCUUCAAGAAGACGUGCUGGAACUCACCGCCCAAUGCCUAACCAAGAAUGAAGAUAAAAUAACGUGGCCUUUUGGUGCAGCUUGCAGCACCUCAUGGCGAGCCGCUGCUGCUCCAAAAAUAAGAAUUACUACUAACUUCAAGGGGCUGCGUCUAUGAAAGCAUAUUCCCUGCCUCAAGUAUUCGGCUAAGGGAGCCAAUAGUGACGGAGAGUUUUACAGCUUGAUGGAGAGAAACAGAAAAAUCGGGGCUAGACCCCAACUCAAAAACGCAAAGAAUGUUUUGAAUCGUUGGGCAACCACUGGCCAUGCGUAAUUCUAGGCGAACAGUAGAUUAGCCAAGUUCUUGUGUCAAUAACUUUUGGUACGAAUAUUAACCUUGCUUGUUGCUUGAACAAUUCUUUUGUCUCACAUUAAAGCUCCAAGAAUCGACUUCAAUAUGUUUAUUUUGUUCAAGUACCUCCCAACAUCUGCUUUAAACUCAUGGCACAAAGUCCCGAGACCUAAUGCGCUCCCAUACUCAAAUUUAAUUUGGGCAGUAUAGGUAUGUAAAAUAUGGGACUAGGCCUAAUUGAAAAUAUAUCCAAUAAUACCCAUUUAAAAUAUGGAUCUAACCGGAACUUACUUGAGAUUCUCAUAGAUCUUUCUUUCCCCCAGAGUCUAAAAAUAUUGAUUUUCUUAAAGACAAAAACCAACCAAUAUUUUCGAGACAUUUGACUAGCAAAGUUUGUUAUGUCCAAAUUGAACUUCAGAAAGUAAAUUUACUUUCAAAUCUCAUGAAAUUUAGUUUUGGGUCCGUUUGGAUUAGCUGUUUUUGGGGGGUGUUUUUGAAAAAUUUUACUGUAACAGAGUUUUUAGAGUAUAUUUUUUGGGAUAUUUUUAGAAAAUAUUUUGGAAUAUUUAAGAGUAGUAGAGUUUUUAAGAUUUUUUUGGGAUAUUUUUUGAAUAUUAAAAAAAAAUUAGACUACUUUUUAAAGUACGUUUUAUAGUACUGUUAGUUUUUGAAAAAUUAGUGGAUCAAAACAGAUGAAUUUAGAAAGAAAAAAAUCAAUUGGCAUAGGUUUUGUUGCAUGAUUUUUCCACAGUGUAAAGAAUUAAAACUGAUUAAUUUCAUCCUGACAUGGAUUGUGCAAAUCUGUAUAAGAUCUUAGUAUGUUGGAGGAAACGUGACGAGCGUUUAGUCAUAUGAAGUAGAAAUUUGGGCAAAUACAAAACUGAAUCAUCAAACAUUUCAGGAGAAUGCAUAACUUUGAUGGUGGAAAGUUUUACAGAGUUUAAACAAACUAACUAAAUGAUAUUUAAAAAUAAGUAAUAUUGAGACAUUUGAUUUGGACAAAAAAAAAGAGUUAAAAAAAAUUUAUUAGAUAUUUGGACGGUAUUAAAAUAGAUCUAACCCAUUUUAGUCCUGCAUAUACUUCGUAUUUUACGGUUCCAAUUAAGUCCCGUCCAAAUUUCGCCCAUUUCUACUCGUGCCUCCCUGCUGCAUGCAUGAAAUGAUUACCCGUUGUACCACUGAACCAAAGUGUGGGAAAGGCAAUCAUUGAUUGAACAUGGUCGACUUUUAUAACAGAGUGCUAACGGUAUUCAUCCUACCCAUAUUGUAGUAAAUUAUUUCGGAAAGCUCAAAACGGUGUCGUAUAGCCCCCCCAGUCCUCAAUUGUCAUUUGGACAUGACCAGUUGCUGGUCAACUCUGUGCAGUAUUAUUGGAACGGAAAACCCCAAUUCGCCGGAUGAGGGGCGAGCUGUUCACGGCCAGGAUUUCGUUCAAAAAGAAGUACGGUUCAGAUCAUUUUUUGUAUCUUGUUUCUAACAAUGUGUGUGAGACUCACAAAAAUUUGUUCUAAAGUUAUACGUUGUGAAAAUAAAAUUACGCGAUAUGUAAAAUGUACAAAAUCGAUUAUACCUGCAAUCGCUGCUGCCCGUGGUCCCAAUUCGCCGUGGCCUGCUUUGCGGCUUUGGGGGGGGGGGGGGAGCAUUGGCAGUGCAUGAAUAUCUGUCUUCACUGGGGAGAGUUUCUCAAACUUGAGAUCAUAGAUUUCAAUUCCAUAAAAUCACACACUCUAAUCAAGAUUGAAUAGCUGCAUGUGCCCGUCUUGCAUUUCAAUCCGUUUAUACAACUUCUCAAGCCAAUUUAUUAAGAGUUUCCUAAACUUGAGAUCAUAGGUUUCAAUUUCACAAAUAACACUCCGGUCAAGAUUAAAAAGUUUUAAAUUCCCCUUUCUUGCAUUUCAAUCCUUUUUUUUUUCCAACCAACUUGGCAAGCUUUUUUUUUUUUUUUUUUUUUUUUUAAAAAAAAGAAUAUAUUACAAGUACAUGUAAACAUUGUAAUCAAUCCACAAAUUGAUAAGAGUGUAUAGUGGAUCGAGCGGUUUGAACUCUAUGACUCUUUUUUCAGUGGUUGAGGAUUUGAUUCCUACCUCUGCCAAGUUUGCAAAUAUUAUCGCAACUUAACAGGAUAGCGGGAAUAUGCAACUCAGGAGCAGCCGGAGGCAUUCCUAUUUUAAUAGACUAAUAGUAUAGGAUUUUUUUUCUUUCCCCAAAAAUCCCCCAGAAUAGGAGUUCAUCCACAAAUCGAUUUCCGCUCUCUAUCAAGUUGGGGAAUUCUAAAGAGUGUUGUAGAGAUGAGGCAGUACUGGUGAGGUUAGAAAUUAGACCAGAAAAUUCUUGUAGUAUGAGACUAACAUCGAAAACUAUUUUUAAAUCUAUACCUACUUACUUAUAAAUAAUAGUUUGAUGCGAAAUUUGACCGACUGCUUCAGUUUUGCUUCCUCCCGCCUAAACCAAUCACAUGCCCCCUUCCCUUUUACUGUACAAUUUUCUUCUCCCAGUCCCAUUCCUACCGGCACAACUACAAGCCUUGUACUUUAGCUGCAUCAUGGGGACCAAAGUAGGCCUUUUUUUAAAAUAUAUAUAUAUAUAUAUAUAUAUAUAUAUAUAUAUAUAAUUUGGUUUCUAUAACCAACAAAGCAUUCACAAAAGUUAAAAAUGAAAACAAAGAAGAGAAGAUGCAGAUCCAAUCUCCAGCUUGUAAAUAAUUCUUCUCCCAUGAUAUAUUCGACUUACCUUCUACGGUUUGUCCUGUUAUUCAAUCAAGGAUUCCCUUUUUAUUAUUUAUAUUAAAUGCAUCUUUCAAGAGUUAGGAAAUAGGAAAUACACAAGAAAAUAUUUUUAGUUUAAGAUUUUCAUCCUGUCUAAUGAACUACUAUAGAAUAGAUUUAACCGGGACUAUUUUCUCAUUGCUCAAGCUACAGUUCAAUCUUUUAGUAGUAACCAGGAUUAAUAAAAUAAAAAAGCUGAUUUGCCAGAAUAACUUAUAUGGUAACAGUUGGGGUGACAUUUACUCAAGGGUUCUGCCCCCUAACUGUGUUUAGCUGUAAUAAAGGUUCUACAUUUAAAGGUUGUGUCAAAUUUUUGAUACACAUAUCAUAAAUCAAACGGUGAUAGUGCAUGCACUGUUAUCAGUAUAUAUAAGAUUUAUUCAAACUAAAAACUUUCCGUCAGUUUUCAUUAAUUAAUCGACACAGGCACAUGCCAAUAAUGCUCUACCACAAGUAGCAAUUUUGCCACUAUGUGUUGCAUAGCAAUGACAGAUCUUUUUCAGGGCAAUGUCCUUUUCCAAAUUGAACUGCAAGUUCUAAAGAGUGAUCUACCAAACAUAUCGGAGUAUUGGACCCUUCUGCAAUUGAUAGUGAAAUACCACUGCUUUAAUUGCUUAGACUUCAAGAAUUUAGGAGCAAGGCUGUAUCGAAAGCUUAGUUGGUGGAUGUACUCCUAGUCACAUCACUCAAGUUACUUUUAAAUGAUUUUGUACCAUCUUCUUUUUUGCAUCUUGAGACAAGAAAGCAAAAAAACCAAAAAAAAAAAAAAAUGAAAAUCUUGUCCAUAUCUUCAAUAAGUAUCGUGGAUCAUAAGGUAAUUGCACUAAAGGAGGGAUCUGUGAUCUCCUAAAUUCAAGGUAAAUUUUUAUAAUCUAAAAUUUUCAAAGAUAACCAUUAAUUGCCAAAAUCUUGUCUUAAUAUGGACUAGUACUAAUUAAUAUAGCAUUAAUGAGCGGGAAAAGCCGGGAGAAACUAAGCCUGCAUUUCCCAAUAAAAUAAGAUAAUCAUAUCUGCAGUGAUUUCCCAAAUAAUCAUUUCUUAAUUGGUUCCUCUCGAAUUCCCCGAUUUACCCCUAUAUUAGCCUGCUAUUUUGGUCUAAUCAAGGGGCAGUAUUGUCUUUAAAAAGAGAUUGCGGUAUUGUCUUUUAACAGAGAGCUAGAUUGCCAUGUUGAAGGCGCCUAAACGUCCUAAAAAGUAACGUUAAAGAAACAGAGCAAGGCGCAAAAAACACACACAUUGGACACAGCAAUGUAUGAAUGAGUGAGUGAAAAUGAUAGUCAAAGCAAGAAGAAAACUUUUUUCUAGUGGACACUGUCUGAAGCUUUUGCAGCUCUCUGUCUCUCUUCUCCUCUGUUCUUCCUCAUGUGAGAGAGAGUGUGAGUGAGUGUUCUGUCCCUUGAAACGCUUCUUCUUUUUCUCUCCGCCUUUCCCUUUUUCUCUCUGGUAAAAACUCUCUUUCUGCGCUUAUUAGUUAUUACACUUCUGCACGAGGAUAUGUUGUCUCUGUGUGCCUGUCUGCGUGUGUUUUUAUCUCUUUUUUGGUAUUUUUGGGUCUUGUUUGUAUUUAGUUUUUCUUGACUGGUUGUGAAAUUUUAGUACUAUCUCUUGUCACAUUUUUAAUGUUCCCUGAAAGAUUUUUAUUUUUGUUUGGGUCGAAAAAUUAGAAAUGAUAAAUGGGCUAUUCCUACUUUUGGAUUAGACGUUCAGCUAAAGAGAUAGAAGAAAUGAUUACUUCUACUUGAGAGUUGUUGGGUAUUUCGUUUUUUUUUUUUCCUUUUUCUUUGGCUUCACUUCUCUGAGAUCUAGUGGGGUAUGGCCAUUGCAAUUAGCCAUUGUUCCUUUAUUGGCUUGCAAUGCAAGUGUGUACAAAAAGAUUGGAUUUUUAAUCACUCCUGUUUGUUUAUUAGUAUCUUUCUGACCCACAUUGGGGAUUAUAGAUUGCUUAUUGUUGCAGGAUUACUUGUACGAGAUCAAAUUUUUUUCUUUUUCCUUUAUCUCUUGGAAAAUUUUUCUCCACUAGCUUUGCUUGAUUAGUAGGGUCCUGGCAUUUGGGGUAUAAGUUCUUUGCAGUGCUGCUUCAUGUGUAGGAAAUUUGUUAGUAUUCUUGGCUUAAAGUAUAUUAGCUUCUCUAUUGUCAUCUCCAUUUGCAAUUGAAACAUGGGUAGUAUCUUCUUUCAAUCAGUUGUCAGCUUUAGCUUUUCCUCCUGAAAAUACAUAAGCAUUCUAUUUUGUUAGUCUAGUAUUAUUUGCUAAGAUCUGGCCGUGUGCUUCAUGUCUGAGUCCUCUAAGUUGCUAAAUCUAUUAACGGAUUGGAUAUAGGCUGAUAUUAAUGUGGGCAUGCAUAUGAAUUCUGCCCAAAUUGCCCUUUCUGUUUGCACAUGAUAGCGUUAUAUGUAUGUUAGAAAUAGGAAAUUGAAUUUCUUUGCGUUAUAUGUCCGUUCAUUUCAAUUUGUGGUUUCGCCUAAACAAGAUUUUAAUUCUAUGAAAUAGUACUGGUUGGAUAAGUGUCAGUAUCUCACUUUUACUUCUUGAGUUUUCUAGUGAUUAUCUUUGAUCAAUUGUAAGUCAUCAUACUGCUUCUGUUGUUACUGAUCUGUUGUAGUUCUGAUUUGUGUCAGGUUUUACAUGUGCCAAUGAGAUUGGGACAUGGAGUUGGAAUUUGACAAAUAUUGCAUAGUGGAUGGAAGUCCAACAACUGUUCUUCCAUCUCCUCGGUGUCAUUCAAAAGUUGAAAAGAGGAAAUCAAAAGGUUAUCCAAGACAUGGAAAUGAUUUAUUGACCGUGAAUGAAGACUUCAGUGAGAUUAGCUUCCAUCGCUAUCGUAGUGUUUCCUGUAAGAACACUUCAUCCAGGACAACUCCUCUGGGAUAUGAUGAAGUGCGAAAGAGGGGCUCCGUCUAUCAAAGCUCCAAAGAAGUAAGGUUGAUGAGGAAAACUGCUGCUACAGAAGGCAGGAAAAAAAUCGAAUUCUCACAGAGCAGUGCAACUGCACUUUCAUUUGGAAUACUUGAUUCUUUGUGUGGUUCAGACGAGGAAAGCUCACAAGUGGAGCAGAAAAGAUCCUCAGUGAUGUCACAGAACUCAGACUUCAGUACAGCAGCAAUUUGCAAGUCUGGUGCAGAUUUGCAGUCUGAUGAUUUCUUAGAUAUCUGCCUCAAUCCUGUAUCAAUCAAAGGUAUCCCACCAGAUGGCUCUUCAGAACUUUCUUUUGAAUUAGAUGGUAGGGAUGAUCAAUGUGCUGAAAAUGCAGAGAGGCAGUCCGUGCACGGCCCUAAAUUCAAAUCUAAACCAGUAGUUGUUCCUGUCAGUGAUGGUAACAGCCUACAUGAAAGAGAUCCAGGUUUUUCUUUACACAAAUCUUUAUCAGCCAAAUUAGCACUUCCACAUUCUCCUGCUCGAUCAGAGAGUGAUUCCUCCAGAACCAGUAGUCCAAUGACCAGGUUUGGUCCUGUCAGAAAGGUGUUUGAUCCAUUUGUGAAAUCCAAGUCGCAAAGGAGUCCUCUUAGUGCUUCAGGUGAAACAAUUAGUAGAAACCCAACUGGGCUUGUUAGUAUCAGCCGAAGCAAGACAUCUCGCAAGUCUCUGCUUCAUGAUUUUUCAAACACUGGACAGCGCAUGGAAUUUCAGUCUUGGUCAAUGAAGGACAAUAAUAAUCAAGUUGUCCAGAGCACAGUAGCUCACCUUCAGGGCAUUCUCAAGGUGAAUAAGAAACACGAGUGUCCAAUUUUUGAGUUCUCAACAAAGUUUCCUGAAGACUUUUUUGUUGCCAGGACAUGGAAAGUGGGUAAUGCCUUAAAUUGGAUUUAUACUUUUCAUUCAGUUAAUGAAAGAAGGAAAAGUAAUGCUAGUGGACGUGGUUCCAAAGAAAGCCACAGAGUAUCUUCCAUGGUAGGACAGAUGCAGGUGUCCUGUUAUUUAUCUGCUGAGUUAAAGGAAGCUGGAGCUUUUGAUAACUCUAUGAUGACAGAAUUUGUGUUGUACGAUAUGCUACACCCAAGAAAGAGUGUUUCCUCGCAAGACAAUUGUUGCUUCAUUGAAGUUGCUGAAGCACCCAAGGCAUCAGAUGAAAAUUCCUUUGUAGGUAGUCAUAAUUUGGAUGCAGGCUCUGUCAAAACUAAGAUCAAAGGACAGGCAAAGCAUGGUUGUGAUUCUGGUCAUGUUGAGUCAUCAAUGACUUACCCUCUGCCAGCUGCAGAAUUGCAUCCACACCUUCAAAUAGGAGCUAUUGUUGUGCAAGUUCCUUAUGAAAAGAGAGAGAGUUUGAAAUUUAAAAGCAGUGACAAGAAAAUGGAUCUACCACUGUUGAACUUUCUUGAUCACUCCGGUGGUGAACAUGAGAAGGAACUUGUUCCUGAUUCUGUGAGUCCAGUAAAGAUGGAUGUCGUAAUCCCUUCCGGUAAUCAUAGUCUGCCAACUUCUGAAAGUCAUGGCCCUUCACCUUUGAUGGAUAGAUGGAGAUUAGGUGGAGGUUGUGAUUGUGGUGGUUGGGACAUGGCAUGCCCCCUGCACAUAUUUAGCAAUCUUCGUAUCCGGAUGGCUGACAGUCAUCUCCUUAUGGAUAAUCGGCAGCCACUGAAGCUUUUUUUCCAGGUAAUCUUUGUAUGUAAGCCAAAGUUAAUGGCUUCAACUAUUUUUAUUUGUGACUCUUCGUAGGCUAAUUAUUUUGUAAAUCAAAUUGAUUUCUUUUAUUUCUGAACUUCACAUUGACUUUGUUGGAAGAACACUUAAAGGAUGCUCAUAAUGGUUGUUAACUAGACACACUAGAAUUUUGGAUGCUUGUUCUUAUGUUACGGUACAAUACCAAAUGCGUAUAAUUUGUUUGAGGUUUGCCCUCAGUUAUUGAGUUACUCUAUCCUAACUUUACAGGGAAAGAAAGAUACUACUCCAGCACUGACGAUGGCAGUGAUGCAAGAUGGACAGUAUGCAGUUGAUUUCCAUGCGCAGCUAUCCACAUUACAAGCAUUUUCGAUAUGCGUUGCUGUGUUGCAUAUCAUGGAAUCCUCUGUUAGUUCAAGACAAGAAGAAAACAAGCAAUUAUUGCAAAGCAAUUCUUUGAGAGUGUUCAUUGAGGAGGAAGUCAAAAAUCUCAUUGAUGCAGUCACAGAAGAAGACAAAUGUAAGGGCAACAAAAAGAUGGCCGAAGUCUUGCCAUCUUUUAUAGUCAAUCCACCCUUUUCUCCAAUUGCUCGAGUAUAGGCUUGAUUGUAUGCAAUAAAAAAUUGGAAGCAGUGAGACACAAAUGUUGUGCAGCUGGAAAUAAGUUUGAAGCUGCUAGAUGCACUGGGAUUAUUGGAUUCUUGAAAACAAAAUCAACAUAUGCUUGAUGAUGUUAAAAUGAAGAUGCAGACAAUCCCAGAUUUUGUUUUCGUGCCUCGACAGAGCAACAGUCAAAAAAGUGGGUUACUGGAUUGGAACUGGUCAACCUUCCUCUUGUAUUCUUGAUUUGUUUUUCUCACUUUAGGGAUCGAUUCAUAGAGUAAAGACCACACUGUUUAUAAUGUUAGAUAUUAGCAACGGAAUAGUCAUCAUUCAAUUGUUGAGAGCUAGCUCUUCAUUUUUGUAAUUUAUGAUUAUCUUAGGUCUUAGGGAGAGUAUCCUGGAGUUGUUUAUUAAGAUUCACUCUUUAAUCACAGAGGCAAGUGGCACUCGUACUUCCAGAACUCUGUAACUAUACAAUAAGGGAAAGUGACUUGCUCAUCAAUACUUCUUUCUUUAUUACUCAUCCAGGACUGUGUGCCUAUUCUACAUUUUGCAGAGUAUAGCCGGGCACGUCGGCUUGGUGAUUCUUUUAAGAUCAAUGUAGUAAUGACAAUUUGUGGCAUCUUUAUCUUUUUGGAUCCAGUACACCAACAUAUUUCUGCAGUUUUGCAGACAGUGAUUUUGAAUCUGCAUGCUUCUAGUUGUCUCUAAUUUCUUGUUUUAAUCAUCAGAAGAUGUUCUGUGACCUUCACUACAUAGGAAUAUGCUGCAAAAGUGUACCUUGUACCUCUAAUGCGCAGCGUUUCCCAACUAGAAGUCUAAACCAUGCAUACACACUGUUAUUAUUAAGUGCCAAAAUCUAGUGAAGGGAACAAACGUUUUGAGAAGAUGAUUUCGAGAAUAUAAAAGAAUAAUACUAGUUGAUUUAACAGCACCUAAUGGUGAAAUGUAUAUCGGCGUAUUGUUGGCAACAUCAACAGCUAAUUGAUCAGUAAUUAAAACCUACCAACAUACAAUUCAUCAGAGACAAAACAAGCUAGCAAUCACGUCCUCAUUGAAAAGGAAUGCACAAGUUCAUGAACAACAAUAAAAAUAGUCCAGACUCUCGUAAAUCAAUGCGAUAAGGGAAAAGAAAAGAAAUUAAAAUUUUGGGGUGAUCCAAAUGGAUGGGGAAAUAUUGCUAAGCCUACGAGGGCCCUGGUAGAAGGGCUGAAUGGUUCCAGUUUCCAAGUUGUAGACACCCAUAUCCUUGCCACCGGUGACUUCUUGAAUACUCUUAUAUGCGUCCCAGCAAUCAUCAGUAAAAUAGAUAUGAUUGGGUUGGAUUCCAGGGAGUGAAAACUUGUUGGAUGAGACCUGCAGGGAAGUAGAAGCGCUGUGACCAACAAAAACGGCUUUAUUUCCCAAACUAUGUAUCUCCUUCCACGUCCCUCCUGAUAAAUCUACCUCGUACAACUUAAAUUCAGUUGUACCAUAGUUUGGCUGGUCGUCAUCAUCAGCAUAAUGCGAGUAAUUAUCUCGUGUUACUACCAGCAGGGAUUCCUUGUCUGAAGAUGAAGACUCAAGAACUAGGUACAAGUGCUUGAAGUCCACUAUAAGGUUUGAGUGGUAAUCUCUUAAAUGCUGGUCUCUGUAGGACUCUUCCGAGUAACGAACCAAUUGAGUUAUCAUCCGAGCCUUGGUGGGAUUAGGCCCCGAUACAUCACAAGCCACAAGAUUGCCAGUACAAUCAAUUGCAUAGAACUGGCCAUUGUGAUAGUUGACAGCAGAAUAUGCAGCGUUAUGGGUCUCAAUCUUGGUCCAAUUUUGGUCACCUUGCCGCCAGAAUGCCAAGUAUCCAACGGAUCCACAUACCAGCAUUACCACGAAGUCUGAGGUUUCACUAGGCCUCGUGGACAACACAAAAAUUUCCACGAAUAUUUCAGGGUCAGUAUUCAGCCAGUCAUCAUCUGGGAAGGUGGUACCAGGAGGCAAAGGAAUUUCGACGUCUGAAAAGGGAUUCAGAAGGGUCAUAUCCCCUUCUUGUCCUACAGCUAACAACCAUCCUAGCGAUUCGUAACACUUUUUACCCUUGAGUUUUGGUAAGCUGAUCUUGGCCACGAUUUCUUUCUCGAUCAAACUGUAGAACUCGCGGUGGUUGUCGUUCUCGUCUUCCGAUUCUGCAAGCAUGAGACAGGGAAUUUGCUGCCACAGUUUCAGCCCCUUGAAAUUCUUCCUUUUGGCCGCGGCAGCUCGCCAUGAAGUGCAAACUGCACCAAAAGCAACGUAAUCUUCAAGUUUGGUGAGGUGCUGCUGGGCUAUGAGUUCCAGCAAGUCGUGUUGAAGUUUCGACCAAUCUCCCAUUCUUGAUCAGGUUACGAUUAUGGUCCAAGACAAACAAAAACGUAAGAAAAUCGUCUUAUCUUAGGGAGGCAUAAACCUAAGAGGCGAUGAUAUCGUAUAAAGGUUAUGGGUUUCUAUUAUCUAUUUCUGUGAAAUCCGAAUCCUAGAUUCAAACCAAGAAGGAAUCAGCAAUCAACUGGGAUAUGCUAAAAAAAAGGUUCCCUGUAGUAAACUUGCCUUGUUCUUUUCCUCGGUUCGUUUCCCAUGCGAAAAAAAAAAGGAUUGGAAAACGCCGUUGCCGGGGAUCGAACCCGGGUCACCCGCGUGACAGGCGGGAAUACUCACCACUAUACUACAACGACUUUGUUGCACUUCGGCUGCAGUUUUGACAUACUACUAGUUCUAACAAAUACAGCACAACCAACAACAUUGCCAACGAAUACCAAGCUGAAGCAGUUGGAGCUCAUGUUUCUCUCUAUUUUCACCGAUAAUAGUUGUCAAAGUCAAUUACUCCUAAAUCCUUCAGACAUGCCCUUGUCUAAUGAAAUGAAGAGUGAUUUCGGGUUUCGAAAUUUUAUUUAUUGUAUCAUAAUUACGCUUUUCAACUUCUGAUUUAUUUUUCUAACAAUUUUUUUAUAUUACAUGCGUCACGCUACAAAAACUACUAUAAUGUUUAAAUUUUUUUUUUUUUUUAAAAAUGCCAAAUAAUCUUCAAACCAAAAAUGUCAUUACACCUGACAGCAGUUAGUUGCCAAUAGGCAAAAUAAUUACUACAAGAAACUUUAGUUUGGCACAAAUGCCACAAAGUACUGCCUCUGUGUUGCUCUUUUUCUCAACUCAAAGACAGGAGAAUAUCAUCCUAAUCGAGUUUAAUUAAUGAAAUAAAUGGUCGAUGGUCAGUUGUUCAUGUUCCACAUUCACCUAAGUUAGUGCCUCAACAUGGUAGAAGCUCCCUGUUCGAUUGAGCAAACUCCAAAAAUUUAGUUGACCAGCAGGCAUAUGAUGCUGUCUUGAUCCUGGUGAAGAAAAGAUGGUGGAUCAUCCUCCUUGACUUGUUCAUGUCGACAGGCUUGAACAUUCACUUGGGAGCUAUCCAGAGAAAAUACCAUCUUAAAAGACUCGUACGAUGCAAAGAAGAGUGCUCCUUGGGUCAUAUACAUGAACAAUCUUGGCGUCAAUCCCCUGAAAUAUGAUACAUGAUACAUUACUACCAAUCCAAGCAAAACCAGGGAGUCAAUUAGAGAACAAACUACGGGCUCCCGGAAAGGGAGAAAAAAGUUUGGCGCAUGAAGAACGCCUCAAUCCAUUUCUUCAACCCUUACCCGUAGAGACCCUUUAAUCCUUCCUUCUUAGCAAUUUCUCUAAGUGUAUCGAAGACACCAGGACACUGGUUCCUGGAUCCAGGAGUCUGCAAAACACACAUCAGAUACUUUGAACCUUUGCAGUGACAUUGCCAAGAAAUGGUUUUCAAAAGCAACAGCUAACGCAUCAUCAGCUUAACCAAUGAUGACAACAAAGUGCUAACCUGUGUUUGUAAUCUUGUCUUGACAACAUCAAAAGGAGUCGUAAAUAAUGCAGCAGUAGAUCCAGCCAAACCUCCAGAGACUAACUGCAACAAUAGGAAAAGAAAUGAAAAGGAAAAAGGUGUCAAUCUUAACAUGAAAGGCGCAAAAUGGGCUUCUCUUGACAACAAUAAUGCUAUUUCUCAGGGGAGAGAGUAACAGUAGCAAGUGGCAACUUUUUAAAACUUCACAGCAAAUUGUCAAGAAAUUUAUGAUGAGAAAAAGAAACCCUAAUUAUCGAAACUCUUAGCAGGCCAGAAAACAGACCGUCACAAGCGUGUUGGUUUGACCAUUCAACUGAACUUGGGAAAAUAAUUGCUUCAGACUCUCGUAUGUGUAGAACUGCAAAAAUCAUGAAAAAGCGACUUAAGUAACUAAAAUUCUUAAACCUAGCUUCUAUGAGGAGAAAUUACAAAACAAUAUCUUAAAAGAAAUGAGGUCAAAUAAGGGGGAAGAGAACUACUAACAAAAACUGUUCCAGGAAUUUUAUCCCCUAAUUUUACCUUGAUGAUAGAGUGCGGAAUGUUCCUGCAGAGUACAGCUGCCCAGCCAGCAUACAAUGAAGGCAAACCACCUUUUUCAAUGAUGCCGACCAAUGCAUUCCUGUUGAAGGACAGAACAGACAAGCAAAAGCAUAUUCAGGAAUGUAACCUAAACAGCAUAAACACACAGUUAUGACCUGAGAAUGAAGAGUAGCUGUGUUAAGAACUUGAUCCAAGACAAUGCACCAAAGUGAGCAGAAAAUUUUAGCAUCUCUACUCCGCACUUUAACAGGGGAAUUACAAAAUGGUAGAAGGCAGGAUUUCAUGCUUUCAAAUUCAUGCCAUCAUGUUGCCCGGAGAUAAUGAAUAAGCAGGAAAAUGAGCAUAGACUGUCAGAUUCAAGGUUCAACUAAUGACAGGACAAGCUUAUACAGGAUCUUAACAAGUAUACCAGCAGUUCUGAUAGCGUGAACCAACUUGCAUCUGCUGCUUUAUACGCUCGCUUGGAGUGAAAAUAAAUGAAGUAGCAACACUGGCACAUCCUCCUGCUAUGCAGUGGGCCAAAGAUUGAUACUCCUACAUAAAGAGAAUUGUUGACAUUCAAACUCCAUCAAAGUGAUUGCACUUUUACCCAAACCCAAUCCAUCUCUACAACCAAUUUUUUGUAGUGCAACCCAGAGAGAGCAACUACUGAAAGAAAUAAACCAGAGAAAGGAAUCUGCUUCUUACCUUGGGAAAAAAGGGAAGCAAAUUCCCCUUUACCCAUUCAUAGGUGAAAGUGUAGACCGCAGAAAUUGGUGCUGAAGACGCAAUAUUAGUUGAAAUUCCACGAUAAAGCCCUGUUACACCUGAAGAUAUUUCAAAGUAUUUUUUAGGUUAGUUAAAGGUACUAAUUUCAACUUGAAAACGAGAAUAGUCUGUUCUACUAAGUUGUUACUAUAAAUUCUUAAGAAAGCUACAAACCUCUUUGAGAGAUAAUUGAUCGACUUAUAUCAUGAAGAGAUUUCUGAUCAGCACGACCUGACUGAACAACAGUCUUGAUCGUGUCCACUGGGUGGAGACACAAGCUGACGAAUACACCAGCCAUAGCUCCUGCAAAAGCAUGCCCUUGUUUUGCAACUGCAGUAUGCGACUUUUCCUUCAUUGGCAAGCAAAUCUGCAUUUCUGAGUUGUCCCCAAUGACAAGCUCCUGCUGCUGAUGCUUUUCAGUCUCUUGCUGGUCAGUUUGAACUGAGAUUUCACUUUCUUCGGUAUUACAAACGCCAGAAAGUAGAAGGCAUCCUAGAGAAUUUGCAGGAGCAUUUGAACUUGGAAGCUCAGACGUGCAGGCAUUUACAUCUCGGACUGUCCCAUCCUCAGUCCACAGUGUAGCAGAAGCCCUUGUACUUUUAGCAGGAUCAUUAUUUUGAACAGAUAAAGAACCUCUGAGUCGGAUUUCAUCAGUUUCAGAGUUGCCAUUUUCCGUGAUCAAAUUAGUGGCAACAAUAGGUUCAAUUACAGACACACUGCAAGUUGUGGGAUCACUCCUAUUGUGCCCACCAUAGUAGUCAUCAGUGUCUUGUUUCUCCAUAGGGUUGAAGUUCAACUGACAUUUUGGAUUAGAAAGAGCUAUUUCAGUCAUCCAACCAUACAUUUUUUCCAGAUCACAUCCUAGAUUUGAAUUUGGAAAGCCUUUUUCUUUCCAAGAUUCCUGAGGCAUUCUAUAACUACUGUGAAGAAGUCUUCUUAGAAGCAAAUAAGUUCCAGAAGAAGGUUGAACAAAUGAAAUCUUGUCCACCACUUUCAGAUACCUCAGAUUUGCAUAGAACACUGGUGGAGAAUCCCGAACACUUAUCGGAUUAACCAUGUCAUUUUGAUUGUCAGCUACCAUGCAUGCAUUACAUGCCCUUUCCCCAGAGGGAUAGCAAAGAAUGGUGCAUUUCUGAAGGCAAUCAUCAUCAUAUCUGAAAGUUGAUUUAGAAACUAAACUAGAAAGAAUGCCAUUUGCACAAUUCCAUAUAGAGCCAAGUGCUGAAAUGAGCUCCCUGGUGCUCAAAAUCUGUGAUGAUGUUGAAUCAGGAGUUCUGCUCUUCUUAUUUUUAUUAGAUGAAGCAGAGACGUAAUCUUUACCACCAAAAUCAACAAGCUCAAAGGAUGCUCCAUCCAAUGAACUACAGCGGUACUUAAUUGAAGGUUUGUCACGCCGUGGUGGCUGACCUGCCCCAGCCAUGAUCUCUUCAAAGUGAUAGUAAAGCAACUGGCAUAUAGACCCGAGAGGCUGAAUUAGCAAACUACAGCAGUAACGAGGAGAAAAGUAUUACUCUCAGAACCUCCAAUCCAGAAUGCAUAUUAGAGGAUAAAGUUAUACGUUAACAAUCUUCCACUUUCCGAAGCUCACCAUAAUUUGGUUUCUAACUGAGGCCAAUUUAAUAAAGUUCACAUCAACUGAAUAUAUAGUUGCUGCAUUAUGUAUAAAGUAGAAAAACUUCCUGACCCAACGCUUAAUACCCUCAGAGUACACAAUAUCACUUAGUCGGAACCUCAAUCCCUUUAUUUGGUUUGUGGGUAUGCCCCAAGUGAUGGACUUAUUAUUGCUUAAGGAACGGCAUAAUUAGAUUGUACUUCAGACUUGCGUAUUUAGUAGUACCCUCCAUUUUGAGGACUUAAGUUGCAGUCUUUUCUUCAGACAUAGCUCUCAUAAUAUAGUGAACCCUCCAUUUUGAGGACUUAAGUUACAUUCUUUUCUUCAGAUAUAGCUCUCAUAAUAUAGUAAACUACGGGAAAGAGUAGAAAACGAAAAAAAAUGGGUAAUGCCUUCAGGGAAAGAAACAAAAAUUACCCAUUACAAAGUCACCUCUUCCUUCACUUGUACUAUCCAGAUUCACUCCUACUUUGUCCAUUUGAAAACAGCCGACACAUAAAUGCUAUAUCGCUCCUGCAAUUUACAUUCAAAACCCAAUCAAGAUUGCGACUUUAUAAACACCCACAAAUUGUAUUGAACCAAUCAUUAGAAUUGAGCUUCAUUCUCUUCAACAAAACAAACUAAAAAGGCAAAACACCUAUAUAAGCUGAACUUGACCUUAUUUUUAGACAUUGGCUAUGAAACUUUAAUCGCAAGUAAAAGCUCAACUUAAUGGUUUCUUCAGUAUCAGUUUCCACUUUCUAAGCAGCAAAACAACAGAAACAAAACGGCCCAUAAAUAAAAAUGAUUGUAUUGGGAAAGUUAGUAAAGAAAAGCAAUAAUAACCUCAAUAAAAUUGAGCCCUUUUCAGCGGAGAGUGGAAGAACUUCCAAGAUUCCGUGUUUCAUUUUUCUGGAUAGCUCCAACUUCCAGCACCAAAAUUUGUAGGGGAUGUAGGGUUUUACACUUCAACGAGUGAGGUUUAUGUGCAGGUGAAGAGUAAAUUUCAGCCAAUUUGGGCCUCUAAAUUUAAUAUCCCAUCCAAUGUUUUGACACCAAAAAAAAGAUAAAAAUAAAAUACAGAGCCUGCAUUCGAGGUGUGAUUAUCACAAUUAACAGUGUCUAGAAGAGAGAUGCAAGUAUUUGACUUUUGAAGUGAAAAAAGAUUCAACAUUCCAACAGAGAUGAUAUUCGAUUUGUGGGAAAAUUUUACCAAAGAAAUAAGGAAAACGAUGUCUGAGCCCGGGUUCGAACUGGGGACCUCUAGUGUGUGAGACUAGCGUGAUAACCAACUACACCACCCAGACGAUUGGCCGAUUGCAUUCCAGAAUUUUUAAGCGACUAAACAUUUUUGGUGUGGAGAAUCAUCUUUACAAUUUUUUUUUGGGUAAUUAAGUAUUUUACAUGAUUUUAGCGCUGAUCACUGUCACAGGUCAUGUAAUGACCCAGGUACAAGGGCUGGUCCAAAUAAUUUUUGGACCGAAAUUCAUUAGCCCAAAAUGGUUAAUUCAAAUUAUUCAAUAAUCUAAUUACCCAAGUUUUUAUACACAUUCCAUUUCUCUUCCUUUACCGAUGUGGAAUACUACAUUCUCCUCACCUUUUAGGAUUUUGCAUCCUCGCACAACCCAUUAGUGUGACGCCCCCACUUCUCUCAAGAGCGAACCCGAGGGUAUCGGCGGGAUGCCUGCCUAACUCGCGUCAGGAUUCAAAACACAAAACUAAUAAAACUAUAGAAACCAAAAGAGUACUAUUCACAAUAUAUUCAAUCCCAAAAGGGUAUUUACAUCCUCAAAAGGAGUUAUCGAGACUACUACAGAACCAAGAGCAAAAGUAGACUUGAAUACGGGUUCUUUAUACAGAUCACCAAAAUAAAAGAAAUAUCUUAGUUGUCCAACCAUUACAAACCAAACCUAACUACACUAGUGAUAGUACAAAAGGGUUCCCCCGAGUCGUCCCCUGUUAAGGAAAAUAAAGGAAAAGGGGUAAGCUAAAUGCUUAGUAAGUAAACGGGGGUAAAAGCGUAAAUUUCACAUUAAAAUAAACAGCUAUUUCAAAAAAAUGUCAAGUCAAAUGCAAAAGUAACAAUACAAAUGAAGGAUACAGGUUGGCUCCAAAGUCACGUCAUUUGCCAUGUGUGACCUCCUGCCGACCCUCCGUCGACCAUACUUAAGGUCCGUAGAACUGCACUUGUACACCCACCUAAUACCUUAUCACCCUCACUGGCCAGUCACCUCACAAAAUUGCUCGAGCGAAUGAAAUUGAGCUUGGUUCACAAACUCGGUUCACAAACUUGGUUCACAUUCUCGGUGAACCGGAUUCACAAACUUGGUGACCUCAAACUAGGUUAGACUGGUUUCGACCAAGCCCCGACUGGUUCGAAUAGUCCAUCUAGGUCGGAAGAUCAACCCCAACUUACAAACGACACCCCGAGCUACAAGCUCAAGGGGUUCAAACCCAAAAUAAUUCAUUUAGACAUGUCAUGUAUAAAUAUGCAUGUAAAUUAGGGUUUAGGUCGAGUGCGAUGAAUUACACUCUCGCCUAGGUACCCUUUUAUUCACCUCAAAACACAUAAGCAAGUUAUAUACAAAACGGUCCGAAUACUUACUCAAAAAAUAAAGAUAGCAAAAGUACGAAAAUCGCGUCGCGAAUGAUAGCUAGUAGGCCCCACCGGCUCCGUCUAACUCACCACCGUCUGAAAUAAAAGAUUGCAUCACAUUAUAUCACAAACGGCUACUAACAUGCCUAAAACAAGCAAAACGGCAAAAUUGGCACAUGCAUGUGCGGAAUCGGCAAACGGAAACGGAAAUGGCAGCAUAACCGUUUCGGUGUCAAAAAUUGUUUUGAACACAAAUGAAGCUACGAGUAUCGGAUCAAAGUGCAUGAGGUACCGUUACAAAGUUAAGAGGAAGGGUUACAAUUUUCAUGAAGACACCUUAAUUUAGAUCUGAAUGGAAUUAUGGAAAACAGUACCAGAAGUUUGCACUUUAGGGUGACGGACAGGGUCUGUUUGCCGGACCAUAACUCACAGCUCACAAAUUCAAAUUAAGAAAUUCCAAAGGCGUUAGAAAACUAUGUCAUAAUGCUAAAACUUUUAUGUUUUGGCCAAAACCUGAAUCAAUACAGAGCAGGGUGAAAAACGGGUCCAAAGUUCCUGUCAGAACUGUCCAAAUUCAAAGGCAGUUCUGACAACCGAUCUUGUUUUGGUUAUAACUGGAGCUACGGAACUCGGAUUUGGACGUACUUUAUACUGUUUCGAAGCUAAAACCAAGAUCUACAUUUCUUAUGUAGGGGUCAACACCCAGUUCGCACGUUAUCCAGGUGAACCGAGCAUGACCAGAGGCUAAAACCAAAAGCAUAACACAAUCCAGUGUUCAAAACAGGUGCAAGUAUUUUGGCUAUAACUCUGGUUACACUGAUCCGUUUGAUCUGAAAUUUUGCAGGCACAUUAAGGACUUAAGAAGCUACAACUUUCAUGUUUUGAGAAACCUCUGAAUCCAUAUACAGCAUAAAGAAAAAUAGAACCCAAGUUCGGAUUUGUGGACUGCCCUGUUUCCAGUUUUGCCGGUUUCGAACGUCGCAACCGCACAGUCCGUUUCUAUGGUUCUAAUACAAACUUUCUAGCCAAACUCAUACCAAACAAUACUACCUAUACCAGAUUCUAAAAGACCUACCAAUGGUCCGAAAUUUCUUCCCCAAAUUACCACAAAAAUUACCAAACACCAACCACAAUCUAGAAUCCAAUUUCACUAGUUUUUCACUCAAUUCAAAAACCCUAACCAACUAAACCCUAACCAAUCUAAACUAACUUCCAUUUAUAUUAGGGUUUCAUAACCAAACCUGAUUUUAUUAAGAAUUCACCAUUCAAAUGAGAUAAUCACACCAAAAGUCCCAUUAUCAAGUUUAAUCACCAACCCAAUCAACUAAGAAAACCUAUAACAAGAAGCCCUAAUUUCUCUUGGUUUGACCGAAAUUUCAGCAGCAAGAUAUCACCAAGAUGAACCAUUAAACUCUAUAUAAUCACCAUCUAUAUCAUAUAAGAUCAUAAAAACAACAAAAGCAUCACUUUUCAUGGAUUCAAGACUUAAACACCAAACUUUAACUUCCAAGAGAGAUGACUUACCUUCUAGUUGCAAGUUUCUUAGGUUGAUCUUCCAAAACUCAAGCCCCAAGUUGUUCUUCCAAGAUUCCAAACUCAAGGUUGAUGAACACAAAUGCAAGAAACAAAAGCUUUUCUCUCUCUUUUUCUUUCUCUCCCUCUCGGCUCUCUCUCUCUUUCUUUUCCUUUGGUUUGUUUUGUUUUGUUUUAUGAUUAUCUUACAAAUCCUAUGGUAUAAUAUAGUCAAAGCUUAUGGAAGAUAUUUUCUACUAUCACCAAUCAUAUAAAAGCUCCCAAUUUGCUCUCAAGCCCUUACACCUUCAACUUUGCAUUUGAUCCACUCUUGCCCUUAAACAUUUGGAACUCUUUCAAUUUAUUCCAUAGGUUAUAAACUUAAUCUAGUCCAAAACAUGUAAUCACACUUAAUUGCUUCACUAAUCACUUUUCUUUCUUAAUCACCUAUACUUAAUCAUACCUUAACUCACAUAAAAGCAACUAAACAACAAUAUUUUUGUCGUAGGCAAAAUUAGGGUUUUAAAUCCAAUUUAAAAUCUUAACAAAUCAUAACACUAGAAAUUUUUUCUAGUUUAGGGUUUUCCUAACUUCUAAACUCACUUAACCUAUAUAAAAUGGAUCAAAUUCUAUACUUACCCGCAUGAAAACACACACUAAUAUAACUAACUUUAACCACCACUCGAAUUUAGGAUUAGUACAAAAACUAGGGUUUCAAUCCUAACCCCAACUCAGGGUUUUCUAAUUAACCCUAAAACCCCAAAUUUUACCGCACAAAUAAUGAAUAUCACCUAAUAUCAAACUUAAUAACUGACCGGGGUCUGACAAUUAGUAUUUAAACUUUUCACUUGGUCACGUUCGGAUACUAGAGGUGCCCCCUGUCGAACCAUAACCCCCUAUUAUGGCCCAGUCUCACCUCACGCAGAGAUCACUGGAGAUUCGCGUGGAUACCAACUGUAAUGACCCGCAUCCAAGGGUUAGCUCAAAUAAUUUUUGGAUUGAAAUCCACUGAUCCAAAAUGGUUAAACCAAAUUACUCAAUAGCCUAAACACCCAACCUCUUAUACACAUUCCAUUCCUCUUCCUUUACCGACGUGGGAUACUACAGGUCAAGACAUGCAUUCUGAACCAUAAGUCAUUUAUAGGAUUCUUACAGAUCAUCUAUCAAUACAAUCCUCUUAUAUAGAUAAUAGAUUGUUCGAACAUACGAUCUUUUGUAAGAAAAUAACCCGUUCUUACUAAUUAGUCAGCUUGUAUUUGCUUCAUAAAGUUUUUGGUGCUACUUUAAUUUUGUACCAGAGAAUUGAGAAAAUAAUUGUGUACUUAAAAACCAACAGAUGUCGUGUUUUUGUUAUCUAUUCUUUAUUGACAUGUUAAAAUUUCUCAUGAAUCCAACUAGUUAAACUCCAGUGCCUAGAUUCGCAAUCAGAAUUGUUUCUCUAUACUUCCUCAAAAAAACAUAAGAGGUUUGGCUAUGGGCUACGAUGGUUGCGACGUUGAAAUCUUUCUCCUCACGCGCACGCAUCAAAUAUUGUUGACUCAAAUGGCUUGCAUUACGUUCAAUUAUUUUAAUUUGUGAUGCAUCCCAAUUAUUAUUAUUUAUCUUUUCUAAAAAUGUAGAACACCAGUAGGCAAUUCAGGUACAAGAAGCAAUUGCAUUUGGAAAUUGGAAUAUUUGACCGUGUCAAACCACCAAAUUCGUGCAACAAUCCAAGAUCAAAAGCCAAUCUUAUAGGAUUUCUCAUUGAUCAAGUGGCUGAUCCAUUUUCAUUGAUGUUAAACGCUCAAUAGCUUAUAAUGCAAGUGAGAGAAAAGAAUGAAAAUUGAGAAGCAACAUCACAAGUUGACAACUUUUUUUUUUUUUAAAAAGUUGACGACUAUUAUACUGACUUGCUGGAAUAAGCAAGUGAAGAUGGAGGAUUCUUUAACUUCGCAAGUCUGCAGUGCUUCACAAGGUCAUUUGUCCAAAGUGUGGAUAGAGUAUUAUUUGAAAUAUUAUUUGGAAUAGUUACUGUAGCACUUUUUUUGAUGUGAUGUAUGUGAGAUAAAAAGGUGAUUGGGAAUAUAAAAAGGUGAGUUGGAAAAUGUGUUUAUGAUGCAAGCGAAAUAUUAUUUGGGAUAAAAGCACUAUCCAAACAGUCAUUUGCUCGAGUACAUUGAUAGAAUAGUAGACAUGAUGUUGGCUAAACUUUGGAUUGUAGUUUUCUGCGAAAACCUUUUAUGUUUUUCGUAAACAUAUUUUUCAGUUAGCUUUUUAUUUCACAUACACAUUAAAUUAGUAUAAUACAUUUUUCUACAAAAACUCCUAAAGAUAGUAAGCUCUUACUUUUCUACAUAUUUUAAGUUGGGAUGAAUUUCCACAAUCUAUUAUUGUAAACAAAUAGUAAGAAAAGAAAAACUCUUGGAUGGAUGAUGCUAUUGGCCCCUCAUGGCCUGGGCAGCUCGGUUGGUCUCAGCAAACCUCCUUAGGAGCUGGUGUCUAGUGUCCGCAAGGAUUCGAGUCCCGUGGUUAACGUGUUCGGGGGGAUGGGGCCUCUCCUCCCGGGCCGGAGUGGGAUUAGUCGGGCCCCGUAAGGAUUGACCCGGACAUCCACUCCGUCAGAAAAAAAAAAAAAGGAUAAUGCUAUUGGUUCAUUGAAUAUACAUAAUUAUCAUGGAUGCAUGGGUGGUGCAACCAAUUUCAAGAAACUGUUGAAUCACCAAACCCUUGCAACGUUGGAAGAUCUCUAUGCACUGCAUAGGGCUCCUCAUUCACAUGUUGCCCAUUUUAUUGGUUUUCUAAGUGAGAAAAUUAGAGGGAACAUGACAGACCAUGAGACAAACUACCGAUCUAUUUUAAAUAUGAAACCGAGGCUAAUAAUCUCUAUUAAUCAGAGAGUUGUGUCAUUUGCUUGAACCUAUUUUCAUAUAUUUUUUUAUAUUGACCUUGAAUUUUGCCAAGCUGGUGAUAAUAUAAUAUAAUCCCAUUUGGAUCUCGAAUUCUUAAAUAACGUAAGUGCAGAUUAGUAUAACAAAUCAUGUUCAGAAGUUUAGAUUAGACUUCCGUUUGAUAUUAGUUUCGGCUCAGAAAUCUUCAUCCUUUCCAGCUAGAACUAGAAAUAUGGACUCGUUAUUAAAUUUUUGCACUCAUCUGCACGAAGCAGCAUGAUUUUGUGUGCAAAACAUAACCCAAAAUAAUCGGGAAAAGGUUGGUAAGAUUGGAAAAUUUGUAAGUUGAAGGUCUAGUUCAAAAUCUCCUGCUUAAAAAAAAAAAAAACCAAAAUAGUUGGGAUAGACUAAUGAAGAAUCUUGUGUUCUCAUCUUAAGUUUUUAAAGGUUUAUUGAUCUUUAAAAAAAAGGUUUGUAAAAGUUUAAACUUCUACCGGCUAAUUUUGUACUCUCUUUUUAUUCUUUUCCUUCUAAAAUAUUAAAAAAUAUUUGCUUGUAUUACAAACACGAUUCGCAAUCUACCUUUCUAUUUUCUAAUUACUUUUUUAUCUCAUAUAUAUCACAUCACAAAAAGUUCUACAGUAGUCGAAAUUGUUACAAUCUAAGGAUAAAUAAUGAUCAUUUGCUCAUCAAAUGAUGAAUUUAACUUAAACAUAUUAUACAUAAAAGGGCAUGUAUAAUCUACCCAAAAUUUGUGGUGGUUGACUUGUAUUUGGAUAGCCAAUUUUGCCAAAUAAUAUUUCGCUUGCAUCGUAGUCAUAUUUUUCACUCACUUUUUUCUAUUUUCAAUCAUUUUUUUUGUCUCACAUGUAUCAUAUCACAAAAAAUGCUAUAAUAAUUAUUUCAAGUAAUAUCUCAAACAAUUUCCCAUCCAAACACAAUUAUAUCUUAAUUAACUGGUGCCCUUGGUGAUUUGGUGUUUAGAUACAUGUUAUAAACAAUUAACCCACGUUGAGAAUCGUAGUUGUCAUUGGAUAAAGGGAAAAAAGGACCUUUGUUAACCCGGUAGGUAACCUCUCGCAUGCUUGGACAACCAGGACAUUGAUUAAUUUUUUCCUCGAAAUGUGAAGAGAAUUUGUAGUUUAAUUGUUUAAUUGAGUCUAGUUAUUUACGUUCAAGUUUCCUUUUAAUUAAUCAAUCAAAAGCAGUCUCUCGCUUCUAUUAACUCUUAUGCCUUCAUUUGAAUUAUUUUUUAAUCAAUAUAAAGUAACUUAGUUUGGAAAAUAUAUACAUGGAGAUAAGUAAAUACAUACAAUGACAGUCAAUGCAUAUUCAAUUGAAAUAAGUAGUUUAACUAAUUUUUACAAGAGAAUUUCACCAAUAAAUUAAAAAUAUCAAAAUUCUACAUGGCAAUUUAUCAUUUCAAAUUAAAUAAUUUUUUGAAGGAUUUUUCUAAUGUACGCCUAUUAGGCACUUGUUAACAUAUCUAAAUUCCACAUAAUCUACCAUGCAUAUAUACAUACUAAUAAUAAUUUUUUUUUUAUAUUUAUACACUUUUCUAAUUAAUCUAACCUUUCCAAAAAACUAACACUGAAGUAUUUGCAUGCCCAUUGGACACCUGAUACACAGACUCUUUUUUGAAACGCAUACAUAUUCCUGUAUUCAAUUAAUGUGUCUAUUCAAUAAAGAGUAGGAAAGAUUAAUCCUUCAUUAAAUGGGAUACCUCACAAAAAGUGAGGGUAACGAAGUUUCCAAAUAAGUGGGGUUUCCCAAAAAUACAUGAUGGUUACCUUGGGACAUCCUAAGAAUUCUUUUCGAGUCACAGUUGUUUUCAAAGGAAGUUGAAAGUUGAAAGCCAGAUACCACCACAACCUUGUUUCACAAGAAUCCCUCCUCUCAGUCAUAUGGCCGAUUCACCUCCCUUACUCUCAAAUUCUGCUCCAAGUUCUGAUCUUGCUAACAACGGCUUCAGGUGGUCCCAAGUAUUACAAGUCAUUCUUAUUUCAAUGACUUCCUUCUUUGAAGCACAACAAACUUUUAUCACAAUUUUCACUGAUGCUAAGCCCUCAUGGCACUGCACACAAACUGCAGAUGCAAUCUGCAAUUCUCAAUCCAAUAUUUGCCAACUUCCACCAGGUUCAUGGCAGUGGGACAAACCAGCCAGUACAUCCAUCAUAUCUGAAUGGUCCCUCCAGUGUACAAGCAGUCAAGUUGUUGCUGGCCUACCAUCAUCAUCUUUCUUCGUAGGAAGCCUGCUUGGUGGACUUAUUCUCAGCUUCCACCGUGACUCUCUUGGUCAGAAGAAGCUGCUAGUCCUUUCAUGUCUUACCAUGUCUAUUGCUUCUGUAUCGAUUGCUUUCUCCAGGAAUAUAUGGGACUCCUCAGUCUUGAGAAUGUUAAGUGGUUUUGGCCAUGCAGCGAUUGGAUCUUGUGUCCUGGUUUUGUCAACAGAAAGUGUAGGAAAGGAGUAGAGAAGUCAGGUGGGAAUAAUAGGAUUAUUCUGCUCUAUAUUUGGGUUUUUGUCUUUGCCUACAAUCGCAUAUUUUGAUAGAAGUUAUUCAUGGAGGACUCUUUACUUCUUAACGUCUAUACCUGCAACUAUUUACAGAAUGGUGAUACAAUUCUUUGUGUACGAGCCAGCAAAAUGGCUACUACAACAAGGUAAAAUACCCGAAUCUCUAGCAGUUCUCAAUAUUGAUAUAGAUCCCAACUCCAAUUACACCUUGAGCUUUUCCAUGAUAUUCUAAUCAAAAGCGAAGGCAGAAGGUAGACAGUGAUCGGUCACUUAUGGGAACUUUGUUGAAGGACAGAUAUAAUUUUCAACAGUUAACAUUGGCAAUGCUUGUUGGAUUUGGCAUUGGAGUCAUUUACUAUGGCAUGCCAGUAGGUGUUGGCAACUUGGAUUUUGAUCUCUACCUCAGUAUUGCUUUUAACGCCAUGCUAGAAAUACCAUCUGCAGUGAUGAUCUACUUGGUAAAAUGCAGGCACAGAAGUUUACUUCUGGCAUUAGCCACCAUUAGUUGUGCUUGCGGCAUUACGAGUAUCAUGGUAGGAAGAGGACUGCAAAUAGGGCUAGAAGUCACGUCUUUCUUCAGUUCCUGUGUAGUUUUUAACUUGUUGCUAAUAUACACAGUAGAGCAACUCUCCAUAAGCACGAGGCUCUCAACUCUAUCGAAGGUAUGGCAAGCCAUAAUGUUAAGUGGUGCAAUCAGUCCGCUAGCGAUUGCUGUAGGAGGAGACUCCAUCAAAAUUCUACUACAUCUGUUUGGAGUAUUAGUAUUGAUUUUAGGGUCAUUGGUUAUAUUCCUACAGGAAACUAGUAUGAGCGGAACCCUUUCGGUCACAUUGGAUGAGCAACAGCAAGAGCAAGAGAAGGAGCAUGAUGGAUCAAAUUUGUGUAUUCAAGUAUAGACUAUGUAAAAAUUCAUCUGAGUAUAUUUAAUUUUGUGGCAUUUGUUUUCUGCCCUUCUAAAAUUCACAUGUUAGAAUCCUAAGAGCAACAAUCAUUUUGGGUCUCUCUCCAAGUGAAUUUAGGUAAUUACAGAGCAGAAAUAACAAAGUUUCUUAAUUACAACCAGCACCGAGCACUCGAGAAAGUGUCUGAAUUAAUUCACCAUGUGUUCUCACUACAUGGAAGAAAUGGUGAAAUGCAUUCUACAGAUUUUCACUUUAACCUUUGUCAAAGUACUCACUCUACAAGCUUAAGAUCCUACAUCUCUUCUGAUUUGUGACGUCAUAAUUAAAGGGCACAAAUGGCCUUCAUUUCUGCAAUUGCCAGUCUAUUAUACAAAAAAGAAGGAUUGCAAUUCUUUUUUCUCUUGAAGCCUACUCGCUAGUCACUGCCACCUUUUAGAAGGCUUUACCUUGGAGGAGCUGCCAGUUGUGGCCUUUCUAGAACCUAAAAACACCAUUAAUAGAAGAAGAAAUUCAGUGAAUAUUUUAAUUUUUAAAUUGCAGGAAAUAGAAAAUUAGAUAAAUGGUAAACAUAAGAUAGCAGGUCAAUUUAACAAAAACUCCCUCUGAUUCCAAUAAAUCAAUUCCUCUGCUUUCACAAACUGCUUCUGGUGAAGCAAAAGUAUUGAUCAAAGGGGUACGGACGUUGGUAGAGUAUGAUGCUCUUACCUGCAACUUUUGACGAGCUCUUUGUGGAAGACAAUUGAGAAGAUGCUGUACGCGAAUGCUUCUGCUGCGGUCUUGGAAGUUUAGAUGGCACAUCGGGCCUGUAAUUAACAAUUCACCAAGGUAGAAAAGGCAAAGGAGAUAGCAUCAGAAACUUGAAUUAUAUAUAGUAGCAACAUUUGGAAAAGGUCAACAUAAUUAACAUCUUGCAUCAGUAUAAUAGAAAAUAAAAAAUGCAGCUGAGAGGAAAAUCUUGAUAGGCUAUUUAUAAUAUAUUUAUCAGGAACUUAAGACUUAUUCUUCGACUAAUAAUUAAAACUUUUUGGUAUACCAGAAAAUUAUACAUUAGGGCUGAUUGGUACUCAUUUGUAUUCGGUAAAAAUGAAGAGCACAAAGUAGGCAAACUCACUUUUCUGUGCCCUCUGCUGGUGGUUUUGCAGUUUCAGGGAAAAGUGUAUACUCUACAAUACUAUUGAUGGAACCAUCAGUUUCUGUCCCCAUCGAGAGAACACCAUCAGAUAUAUCACUUAAUCUCUCUUCAGAAUCUGCCUCUCCAAAGCCGAAAAGCUCCACAUCAUCGAAAAGGUUUUGAUUUCCCUCUGUUACCACAUGCUUUGAUUCCAAGUCCUCUCCAAAAUUUUGCCCUACAUGUGCUACAGCAAGCCUAGAUUGCUGAAAAAAAUCUUUAUGAUGCUUUAAGUCAUCCAAAGACUGCUGCGAACCAGCUUCAGAAUGCUUAUCACUGUACUCGGAGCUAUUGUCUAAAUCAGAAGUAGCUUUCACACCAAAGCUCUUUGCUGCUGAUAGUCUACGACUUUGUUGUGAAGUUCCUGCAGAAUGUCUUCUAGGAGAGGCUGACCCAUAUCUUUGAGAACUCAUUCCGAGUCUCUCACCAGUUGCAUUAACUUUAAGCCGUAGACGUCCAAUUUCCUCAUCCUUCUUUGCCAGUGAGUCCUUCAGGAAAGCCACCUGGAUAAUAGACAGAUCAAUCAAAGUGCAUGAAAUUAUGUAGUAAACCUUGAUACUGAUAAUAAAUAAAAAUGCUACUGGCUUCAAAAUAUUUACCAAAACAGAACAAUUAUCAAUUAUAAUCAAAUGUCAUUAAAACAGCAUUUAUCUGAAGAAAAAAAGUGGAACAUGUAACUUCAAAAGGAGGUUAAAUUUUGAGCCAUGUUAUGUGAGAAAUGGUGUUACAAUAGCUCUAAUGUUAUGAGACACAUUAUAAUAAACUGAAUCUUUCUUUUUAAAUUCUCCCAGAUGGCUUCAAAUGGUUGUCUGCUAACGACCAUGCCCUUCGAUCAGUUCCAGAGUCGAAGAAAAAAAAAAACUUGACCUUGUUAUCUUGUUUCAAUCUCAAGAACAACCAAUCCUCUCUGUAAAGGCAUGUAAAGCAUUUCAUUAUCCCAUGAAGGUUGAUCUGACGUUUCUGGAACUUUAAACCACACACAGUGCUGGUGCCUAAAUACAUUCCAAACCACUUGUUUGCUCACUAUGACGCAAAGAAAAUAAACUCAAGCCUGGAUUAUAGUCACUGGAUCAAACGAAUUAUAGUUCAAUCUUGGAAAGCCACCACGCUCGGAAUCCACAUCUUCAGUAACUUUCACCAUAUAACUCACACAAAAUUAAGAUAAACAUUUCAGUCAAUUUAGAGAAAGACUUAUCGCCAGAGGAUUUUUUCAUAUCCAGGACCUAGAUAUAGGUGUAAAAACCCAAAUACUGUGAGAAGGCAUCAGCAGUUAACAAGUUGUCAACUGACACGUGCACUUGCAAAAAAUUAAAAAAAUGACAGUUUAUAAAACAUUGCAAUACCUGUUCCAUUAGUUCUCUGACACCCCUACCCUCUCUAUUACUUCGUGCAGCACCCAGCUCAACACCAGAGACCCUUUCAGCAAACUUCAGUGUGCUUACAGUCUCAGAAUAAGAUUCUACAUCAGGAUUAAGUUGUACAAACAUGAUAGUCUUUGCUUGGCCACCUGCAUAAAGCAGAAAGGCAUAAAGCAUACCGACAAAUAACAGAAAGAGAAUACAAAAACUCAAAAUUGUAAAAAGAGAAAACACCCUGCGAAGUUGUUUGCAUACCUAAAGAACCUUGAAGAACUUGAGUUAAUUUGCUAUUCCUAUAAGGCACAUGAGAAUUCUUCUGUGCCAGAGCAAAGAUCACAUCUCCAAGAGCAGAUAAAGACUUGUUUAUAUGUUGCGCCUCCCGCAGUCGAUCCCCUGUUGCUUCAGAGCGAUCUACUCUUUCACUCCCAGCAAGAUCAAUGAGAUGCAGACAACCACGCAAGACAACAUUGGUCUCCAAGUCUGUCCCACGGACAUGCACAGUGAGCACACUGCCAUGAAUGAAUUUUAGUCAAUUCACACCCAUAAGCAAAAUCUUCAAAAAGAGAAAAAUGCAAAAACAGUGUCUGAAGAAACCUGUGAGAUCGGCUGCUUCUUUCAUUAAGGGCAGUAGCACCAACAGCCCUAUUCAUUAACCCAAUGUUCAUUAAUUCCAAGACAUCUGAAGUUGAUUGAACAGUGUGCAUACUAGCAUCAGGAACAGCUAAGCCAUUUGGUUGUGCGGUAUUCCAAAUCCCCAGUGUGUGCAAGUCAAGGAAACCAAGGAGGAAUGUGUAACAUAAUAAUGCAAACAUUAAUUGAGCAGCAUGUAGCAGAGUUCAUGAAAACACAAUAAUCCUCCAAUGAAAGAAAUAGUAUAAACAUAUAAAAAAGAUUUCUAUACUGAAUGAAGAGAAAAAGAAGUCAGUCCUCCAUAUUCCAUAUGGUGGAAAAGGAUAUCUCUUCUGAGUACUUUCAUUGCACAGCAAGUCACGAACUUGUUCAUUAUAUAUCUCAACCAUUUGCACGCCUAUUUCAUAUGUUAUGGAACUCUUCCUAAUUUGAGAAAUCUGGAACAAAUCAUUCAGAGCCCGAUAGUUGACCCCCCAAUCUUCAACAGCUGAUACACCAGGCCCGCUCUAUAAACAGAUACAAAAUGCAACACAUGUUUUCAAAAAAGAGCACAUACCAAAGAUGAUGUUUGCAUACUCUUAUUAUGAGGCAUACCAUAGUAUAGGUCUUCCCUGAGCCAGUUUGACCAUAAGCAAAGAUGCAUACGUUGUAGCCAUCAAGAACGGAUCUGAUUAGUGGUUGGGUAUCAAGAAACACCUCCUCUGAACACACAGAAAAAAUGAGAUAAUUAAACCAAUAUAAAUCAUGUUUUGAAAACUCACACUAAAUUAAAGUUCAUGUGUGGGAUUAAUUUGGAAUCCUUAAAACCUUGAGUAGCCGCAGGAGCAAAGACCUUAUUGAACUUGAACAGGCGAUGACCGUCUUUUCCUGGUUUUAAAGGAUUCGUAACAACCAAUUCUCCAUUCUCACCAAUAUAUUCUAUGGUUGUUUGUUUUUGACUUUGUCCUGGAAGGAAUGGCCUCAUUCGACAGUAGACUCUAAUAUUACCUAGAACAAACAUAAGUUACAUGAGCUAGAAUUUGCAUUCCGGCUUGGCAACCCCAUUGAUUAAACAAACCAGAUUUAUAACCUUUCAAAUCUUGAACCUCAUUAUACAACUUCCUAUUUUCUGCAAGGACUACAUGGUAAUUCUGAGCUGCAUCUACCAAUCCUUUCAGCUCCCAACCUGAUCAAGAUUAAAGAUCUAUCAUGUGAAAAAAAAAUAAAAAUAAAAGCUAAGCAGACUGCAGAAACAUAUUCUCAGGAAGAGCAAACAAGAAACACUUUACUCCUUACCAAAGUGAUUGAUUUCUUCCCGAUAUGUUUUUUGGGUCUUCAAUACCUCUUUCUUUAUGGACUCAGAAACUGCUCUCAAUUCCUAAGCAAGUUAACAUGAAUUACGCGCAAUACUAGAGAAGAUAUUAAUUGAAGAGCACACAAAUCAGGAACGCCAGCUUAGUGGUCAAUGACUCAGCACGAGCACUAAGUGAUAUUCUCCUUUUCUUACACCCUUGCCAUCUUUUAGAGAUGGGAACGAUAAUGAAAUGAUUGUCAAGUUAAAGUUAAUGCAAACCUGCAGAGCUCCAGCAUGAGAAUCUAUGAAGUCCUUGAAGCCAUGUUCUUUUCUUCUCCAUCUCAAGUAUUUUGAUUCUGAAAAAGCUUCGAGUUCUUUGACCUUCUUCCUUGAGUCAUUCAGAAGGGACUCAGUAUGCUUUAGUUUCUUUUCCAACUCAGCUUUAGUCUCCAUAGCUUGUGUUACCAGUUCUGCACAACUCUUUUCAUAGGACUUCUUGGACAAUUCCAGCUCUUGCUUGAGCAAUGACAUCCCAAUCUCGUACUGGUCCUUUUGUCUCAUUAACCUUAUUACAUCUUGCUCUUCUACCUUUCUCUUUUCAUCAAUUUUCAACUUUUCAAGCUGAGAAAUCCACAUAAAGAAAAUAUUGGUCGCAGUAGAGAAAAAUUUAUCUAAUUGACAAAAUAGUACAAUUACCCUAACUAUCCCAUCAAUGACAUUCCAGAUGCUAAUUGAGAACAUAUCAAAAGGAAAACUAUCAGUACUAUGUGCAUAUCAUUUUCCAAUGCUGAAAACACUUAAUUGACAGACUCAAUUCUCUGGAUCUAGAUUCAGACAUCCAGUAAGCCCAUUCAACUGCAUUCUUGUGAGUUGUAAGGAAAUAGUCAUCCCACUUCAAUAUUAAUCUGGAUUUUGAUGUAAAAGAAUUUUCUUACAUUAGAAAUUCAAGCAGCCAAUGUUUUAGUCUAAUGCAAUUCUUAUGUAAAAAUGAACCAUAAACAUUGUUGAAGCACUAAGUCAAAUCCCAAAGGCACUGGAGAGUUUCCAGAAGCAAAGGAAAGAAAAUUUUCCAUGGUGACAAGAAUACUAAGGCUCAGAACAUAUAAAACUGAAGAUCUGUAAGAAUAAAAAAGGCACAUGCAAAGUACCUAGUCAUUCCCCACGUCAAACUUUGAACAAGAAUAUAAUGCAUAUACUAUUUGGAUUCACUAAUAUUGGCAAAAGAAAAAUGACAAUGAGAGCAAUUCUUAAAGCCUAGACAUGUAUUACAUCAUAGAUGAAUGGAUGAGGAUGACAAUGAUAGCUAUAGCUCUAGGAAUUUCAGAGGAAAAGAAAAAAAUAAACUCAGCAGUAAGCAGGCAGAAUUAUAUGGACUGACAUCGUGUUUGAAGAGGAUGUGAUAGGGGCAGGCAUUGUGCUAAACUAUGCCUAACAGGUAAGACACAAGGCAAGCAAACUGUGAUGACAGUUCUCAAAAGGCAUCAAAAUCCAAUUCUCCUUUCAAGUCACUUGUUAAGCCUAACAGUCCCUAUGACAGUGCAGAUAUAUCUGGCAUCCUUGUUUAAAAGAUACCAAGUCAAGUGCUUAUUGUGUACAAGCUUCUUCCUUUCAUCUCUUCAUGCUUUUCUUUGCGAGGAAGAAGCCAGUAAUGGAAUGAGUAUAUCUAUAAUGGUGCAUUUAUAAAACAUAACACAGAUAAAGGCUCUGUACUUCAUUUUUUUUCCUUUCUUUCAAGAACUCUAAUAGAAUUACUCAUCUAUCUUUUCUUUUCUUAUCAACGACUGGCAGAAGAUAGGAACUCACAACCCCAGAUUUAGCUGGAAAGGCAAUACAAACAAGGAGAAUGCUGUACCAUGCUCGUAAGUACAAGACACUAACCUUUAUCUUCUGAAGCUGGUUGAUCACAAUCUGCAAGCAGCAAAGCCACAAACAUGAAGUUGAAUGAGAAAUUCAAAAAGAAAAAUCCCAGGUGUUGAACACAUAAAACUUCUCAUACUACCUCAUUUUCUUCAGUUGUUCCGGUUGUAAGAGUUUCAAGUGCUCUAAUUUUAGACUGAUACUUCUCUUCGCGAGACUUGUACAAAUUGCUUUGCUGCAGCCAGAAUGACAUACAAACUCAUCAGCAAAUAUCGAAACAACAAGAAGAAACUCUUGCUGGGAAAGUAAUAAUUAAGGACUAACCUUUCUAAAACUUUCAGCAUGUUUUGAAACUCGCUGCUCAAUCUCUUGUACUACCAAUUUUAACAAAGAAGCUACACACUGAGAAAGGGGCAACAAACCGUCAGUUAUAACUUUGAAAAGAAUUUGACAGGAAAUUCAAGAAAAACUCGUGAACAAUAUGGGAAGAAACAUUCUUGCACUGGUAAGUUGCUUGCCACCUUCCAUACCUGAGGUAUGUCACCAUUCUUUCUCUCAAUGCUUUCGUCCAGGAUUGCAUUCACAACACUAAAAAGUGAUGGUGUGGAGGCAUUCUGCAGAAAAGUAUAGCUCAGAUUAUAAGAGAGCACAAGCUAUAUAGUCGAGAAAAUUAUAAAUGAAAUAAACGAGUGAAUAAGUUCCACUCUUUCCUGAUAGAGGAAAAGUGACGUCCACUACCUCUAGACUGUUCAGCUUCAUCAUUUCUGAAAUCCUAGCAGCUGGAAGGUCAGCAAAAGAUCCAUUCUUCAAUGGAAAGAUAUCAGAGAACUUACUCCCUUCAUGAUGAAUUGCUGCAGCUGAUAGUCCUGCAUGGGUGAAAGAGGCUGAUAGAAUUACAGGACAUGCAGAGAUCUCUAGCUGAUGUACCACCUUACCUUAUCCAUACAACUCCACUUCAUAUUGAGCUUAAAAAGUGCAAACCACAUAGCUUUCAAUAGAAAGCAGAGGAUCUAGGCUGACUCUUUAUUAUUAUUUUUUUUUUUAAUAAUGCAGGGCGGGAUUUAAAAAGCAGGGAGGGAGAAGGGGGGAAUUGAACCCAAGACCAUCUAAUUCCUAAAGCUUCAACCUUAGUCACCAGACCAAGCUCUUCGGCGAUCUAGGCUGACUAAUGGAGUUAAACAACGAAGCACUUUCUGAACGAUGUUUAGCAACCAUUAUAGAUGUAGAAAAAUUGUAAUGACCCAAAGAAAAAUAUUAAAGCAAAAGCUGUACUUAUUAGCUCAGCAGAGUGCAAUAGUUCCAAGGGACUUUAGGAUCCAGCCUGUCCAUACUUCUUGAGUUAUCACAGAUUAAUGUUGUUCUCAUAAUUUAGAAGAUGGGAAAAACGAUAAAACACAUAUGAUCAAGAAAAAUUGACGACUAACGUACCUUCAUAUGUACCUUUAGAGUUUUCUCUUCUUUCAGAGACAUCACCAUUGAGGAUUUCAUUCAAACUACCUGGAUCCCCAUUUUCAUUUUCAUAGACAUCCGAAUCUCGAUGCAUGAUAAUGUUGACAGCAGAUUUGGUAGAUAUAAUAUGGAACAACUCCUAGAAACGAAUAUUUCAGUGACAUCUUAUCAGAAAAACAGAACUUGAACUUCUCAAAAAAAGAAACACUGAUGAUAGGAUACACAUGCUAUCCCCGAGCUUUUGUGCACUCAUACAUAACAUAAAAGAUCACGUAAAGUGUCAUUCACCCACAGAGAAGAUCCAACUCAAUUGCUCAAUCUUAACCUAGGAAGGGAAGAUAGAAACCUAGAUAAAAAUCUUUACGUUUGAAGUUCUUGAUAAAUGCCGAGCAAUAGCCGUCAAAAACAAAUAGAAGAGCUAAUCUUCACUAAUAUUUUCAAGAUCAAAAUUGCAUCUGACCAAAAACAAAUUGAUGAAUGGGGGCUACUUAAAAAGGCCCACAGACAUGGCUUCUGCCAUUUACAAACAUCAAACUAUAUCAUACUCUCCAGCUGCAUAAGUUAGUGUUUUGUCCAUAAAACUUCAAAUAAAGCAACUAAGCUUCAUAAAGUUUUCCACUUUAGUAGCUACCGUUGUGCUUAUCCUCAAGCCCAUAUAACUACCCCCUUCUAGGUACUACAAUUAGUCAAGUUAGAAACUUUUCUUUAGAUUUUUCCUCAUUCACAGGUCUGAUUGGCUCAACUAUAGCUCAUAGUUUUCCAAUUCAAAUUCACAAGCACAUCCCAACCAACAAACUUUACAGCAUUGUGAAAGCAAGGCCAGAUCCAAAAUUCUCCCAUAGCCCUUAGCCACAAGAUUCCCAAGAUGGAAGCAAUAAACUUGUUUUCCUACAUUUUCAGCUUGCUUUUCGCCAUUUCUACACAUGCAUGAAUCCAAAUUCAGCAUUUUAUCAACAUAAUUUGCUCAUACAGAAGCACAUAAGCUCCAACUCAUCUCUAAAACAUUGCAGCUCAAAAAAAAAAAGGAAAAAGAUUUAAAAUCCACAAAAAUCAUGAUCAGAUAAAAGAAAAAAAAAGUCACCAUAAUCCACGUAAACUGCAACGCUUAAACGCGCGUAGUCUGUGAAUUCUGCGCGUCAUUAAACUCAUAAGAACUUAAAACUUGGUAAAAUUAAAGCUUAAACCAACGAUUAAUCCACAUUCAGCAAACAAUUAACAUUUUCAUAAACAGAAUUUAAAGCUUAAAAAAAAACUCAAUCUUGAACCGAUAGAUAAUCACAUUAAAUAUCAAGACUGGUUUCACAAAUUAUAAAAGGAAGGAAACCUAGAAAAAUGGUACGAACCUAGGAGUAGCGAAAUGCAGGAGAUCUAGAGGGAGAAAGCGAGAAUUGGAGCACAGCAGCGCUUGGGAUACAUACAGAUCGGUGAAUGCAUCAAAAAAUGUAAAAAGAAAAAGAAAAAGAAAGAAGAAACAGCUUUUGGGGAAGGUGUAUUUUAGAAGUGAAGAAAAGAGGAUUGCGUAAUGAUUAUUAUGUGGAAAUUUGAAUUGACAUUUGACAAAUAAGUCCUGAUUUGUGGGAAGGUUCUUGGGUUUUUAAUUGGUUGGGUUGGGUAAAGCAAAAUGAAGCUUUUUUAUUUUUCUUUAAAGGAAAAUGAAGCUUAAAACUCCAUCAAAAGAAUUUUUUUUUUUUGUUAAAAAAAGUUCAAAAUAUUUUACUCCUAUCUUUUUUUUUUAAUAUCUCUUUGGUUUUAUUUUUUAAUAUAUUUUAAAAAUAAAUUUGCUUUGGUACGUGUUUUUGUUAAGGACUAAUGGAUUUUGCAGGUUUUGAAUCGUGGGGCAGCCUGGCCCUGGCCCCUUAUUUUGGACUCGUAUUCCCGCCUUCUACUGUUUGUUUGUUUCGGAGUGUUUUAAACAUAUGGCCGAGGUCGGAGCAGGAUUAGCUUCUGAAUUGGUCCCCCUCUAGUAUUGGGCUUUUCUAACUUUUCUUUUUUUUAAAAAAAAAAAAUUAUAUUGGAUUCAUUUAUAGUUAUAUGCCAAUAAUAACUGGUUUUUUGCUACAUUUAAUUAGUUUGCACAAGUUUGAAUAGUCCAAUUUUAUUCCUCCCAAGGGGUAGACAGACAAUAUGAUGGUGGUGAAAAGUUGUUCUACUGAAAAAUACAAGAGUGAUAGGAUUAAGAAUUUGCGUGGAUAGCUUAUUUUUUGAAAUAUAUAUUAAGAAUAUAUAUUGAUCGGGAAUAGCUUUAUUGGCCAACUUGACAAUGAAUGCAAGACUUUUUACUAGUUAAUACAGAUGAAAUCAAAUGAUCACGUAUAAUACGUGCUAUUCGUAUUGUUAGAAGAAAUUAUAUAGAUAUAUACAUGUAUUUUCAAAAAAGCAAAAAAAAGCUAUUCGCACACAUGAUUAGUGAAAGAUGAAAAAUUCAUUUUGUGAAAUGUGAGGGAUAAAAAAUUUAUUUUACAAAAUAUGAGGGACGAAAAAAUUUAUUUUGUGAAAUGUGAGAACCUAUGGAUCAAAUUAUGUGAAAUGAAAUUUGACAAUUUGACCCCUCAAAAAUGAUCACGUGCAAGGCACAUAGUGGAUUUCAAUAAAAAAAAUUAGUUGAAAACUUAAAUAGGGGAUCAAAUUUGACUGAUGUGAAUUUGUGAGGUAUAUAAAAUUAUACUUUUAAUAGUGAGAGACGAAAAAAAUCAUUUUAUAAAAUAUAAAGAACGUUUUGAACAAUUUUUUCCAAAUAAUUUUUAGCCAUCCUUUAUUAUUUUUUUUCACUUAGGAGUGCCUUGUCUCGAAGUUGGAGUGAAUGGCCCAAAAGGUCACUAAACUAUUGAAAAUGACACCCUUUGACCAUCAAACUUUUUUUGUGGCUUAAAAGGUCACUAAACUCACAAAAACGAGCUAGCGGAGUCAUUUUACCGAUUUUUAGCGGUUUCUCGUCCGGUUGCAUUGGCAAUAUGAAUAUCUUUUAAGGGGCAAAAAUUUUCAACAAAAUAUGGCAAACUUGUUUUUCCCUCGCAAACCGUGCCCUUAGAUCUAAAAGUUCAUUGAGUCUCUCUUUCAUCUAUUCAGAGAGAAAUCUUCUUUCUUCAAAAAUGAACACAAAAAGUAAAAUUAGUAGAGUUCACACCGAGUCCCAGCGGUUAAAUCAUCUGCCCCUUGUGCAGUCUUCAUUUUUCUUUGCUCAUACAAAAAAGUUUUAGUGAUCAAAUUACAAAACAAGUAAACAAAUUGAACUGAAUCAUUGGCACGCACCAGAUAAGUAAUCUUCUUAUAAGUUUCCCACGGCAUACUCGAAUCAACAUGCCCCACAAUCGGAACUUGCAACCAUUCAGCCUCCAAAAUAACCGAAGACUUCCUCUCCGUAUCGAAAAUCACCACACAAUCAGGAGCGUGAAUGGCUCCUAAGUUCAACUUCUUAUUCCGGCCGCGAAACUUUUUGGGACUCGAACUGUUUGUUAAAAAGCCUUCAAGACGCCACGACUUGUCAUUCUUAAUCCCAAUAGCUUUCGUCAUUUCCUCGCUGAUUUCGUCGAAAAGGGUGUUGGUGUUGACGAAAAGAAACUGCCCUUUUAACCUGACGAGGUUGCCGACGAAAUUGCAGGCGUUGCGGAGGCAAAUAAGAGUCUUGUCGGAGUCUAUUAUAGUCAUGGCAUUCCGAGAGCCACAAGAGUAGAUUUUGAAGUGGUGAGCCGCAAGAGUGGGGAAGAUGAAAGAAGAUUUGUCUAAUAGAUGAAAGAAGGGCUCAAUGAAGUUUUAGAUCUAAAGGCACGGCUUGCGGGGACAAAACAGGUUUGUCAUAUUUUAUUGGACAUUUUUGCCCCUUAAAAAAUAUUCCUCCACUCCACAUUGCCGGUGCCACCGGAUGAAAAACUGCUAAAAAUCAGUAAAAUGACCUCGCUAGUGCGUUUUUGUGAGUUUAGUGACUUUUUGGAUCACAAAAAAAGUUUGAUGACGAAAGGAUGCCAUUUUCAAUAAUUUAGUGACCUUUUGGGCCAUUCACUCCUCGAAGUUGCAUGCCGAACCAAUCACGGAUCUACUGGUAAUUAUAGGUUAUGGAACUAGCCGGAGGCACCAUCUUUUUUUUUUUAAACAAACAGUAACAUUUUAUAGAUAUUAACAUUUGAUAAUACAAGAGUUAAUUACAAAAAGUAACUAUUCAGUCGGAGGCACCGUCUGCUCUUUAUAUUUUGCCUUUUUUUUUUUUUUGGGACAAACCUUCAUAGGAAGACGGGGAAAGAGAUUCAUGUUAAGUGCUUUUCCGAUUUUGCCCCGAAAUCAAUUAGAGUGCACUACGGUUAAACUACUGUUCACCUUGCGACUGAGAAACGAUUUCCCCAGGCGAAUGGAGUCGGACGAUAGCAUAGCGCCGGAACCUGGGACCAAUGAGCAACAGCCACGUCACCAGAACUCCGUUUCUCCCAAAUUUAAUGAAGAAGAAGAAGAAGCAGCAGAAGAAAAUCCUGUCAAUAGGAAUGAGAAGGAAGAACCCAAAACGACCUCGUUUCCUGAAUGCAAGGAUGUACUCAAAGCAGUAGAAGUGGUGGAGAGAGAUUCGGUCGCGAUCGCUCAGAGCUUCGCAUCUCUCUUCGCUUCUCUCCGUUUAGCUCUCUCUCAGGUCCCCUCCAAUUCGUCAAAAGUUCUUUUUUUUCUUUUAAUUUUUUGGGUUUUAAUUUUAAAAUGGAAGUGAAUUAAAUUUAGUUGUUUUGCUUAGAUAUCAGCUUUCAUCUUUACUUUCAGCGACUGUGCAACAGCUUGAGAAACUCUUGGAAAUUAAUUGGAGCAGUUUCUUACUUUUCUCUUUUUUCUGGGAGGAAAGUUACAAUCUUUGUUGAGCUAACCCAAUAUAUAUAUACUGUAUUAUUUUUUUCCCCCUGAAUUGGAGAUAUUAUUUUGCAAAAAUAUAUAAUAAAAAAAGUCGUUGAUUUACUUUUUUUUUUUAUUGGAAAAAGUUAUUCAAUGCUGGAACAUAAAUGGCAAUUGGGCUGAUAUCCCAAUAGCGGAUGCAUCAUGCAUGCUCUAUAGUGCAGGAGGUCAGUCUUCAAGUCCUGGUGAUCCCCCUCCCUGCCUGAUGAUAAAGAAUAAGAAUGAGAAAUCUUAAACAUGAAUAUACAUGUUUAGUUGUUCAUGUGCUUUAUAUCGUCUUUCUGUGACUUUUUGGGAUUUUUUUUUAGUACAAAAGUUGUAGUUUGGUGUUAUUGAUCCAAGGUGUAGAAUGUAGAGCUUGCUAAAGUUGAUAUUUUUCGAUAAGCUUGUCAUAUUUGGGUUGAUAAAUUGAUUAUCAGCUGUGCAUAUCGUAGUAAAUUGGCUUCUUUCUUUUGUGUGUGUGUGUGUGUGUGUGUUUUUUUUUGAGUGAGAUUAUAUUUUCACUAGGUUACAAGAACUUCUGUGGAUCACAUGAGUUGCUUCAGUGAUGCAGCUGGACGUCUUCAAGAAUCUGGUAAAGCUCAAAGAACAGAUUUUUUUCCAGGCUAAAUAGAAUAGUUCCUAAUGAGAGACACGUGUCACUGUGCUUUUUCCAUGCUAUCUUGAAUAAAAGUUUAGCUACAUAAUUUGAUGUUUUUGUAGUUCUUGUUGUUUUUCUUUUCAUGACUUCUUCAGUUUUAUAUAGCCAAAACCCUUCUUGUCAACUGUUCAUUGACCAUCCAUGACCAUUAUGGAUUUCAUUGUGUUGAGGGAAGUUUUGUUUUCAAUGCCAUGCCUUCUUCUGGUCGUCCCAGUAUCUAGCCUCGUGUGCUGGGAUGCUUCCUUCUAAGGCAGCAAGGUCCAAUAUGGAAAAUGAAACUAAGCCACGGUUAAAUACAAACUUGAAGCAGAAGUAGCCAUAGCUCCUAACUACCAAUAUCGUGUAGGAAAUUCCACAAACUUAGGAUUCAAUUAUCAUCUUAUUUUCAUGUAGUUUGCAGGCAUAUCUAUUCCAUUUUCAUUGCCCAUCAAAUUGUUUGAACUUUCUACAAGCCUGGGGAGGGCAUCGACUAUCAGCAGCUAUCAAGUGCCCUCCCUGUUUUCCCUCUGGGGACUACAAAAAGCAUGGUCUUGUGAGUUCCUAAUAGGCAACAUUGGUCGUGAUUAUCAGCUAUAGAUUGUAUUUCAGGCUAACUCAUUUUCCAUGGGAGUUAUUCACUGAGAUCUGAGGUCGAAUAGUCAUUGCUUAAUAGGAAAUUGUCUGUUCAUCAACAAUAUGUACUUCCAUGGCUGUCUUUCUUUUCCAGCAAUGGUGCAUUUCUUUCAUUUUUUACGCAUCUUGAUGUCUUAACUAGGAGCUUGCCUACUUAUGACAAUAGAAAAGGCGGCAUUUGUACUGCAUGCAAUGUCAACUCCUUUUCCUGCUACAUGGAGUACAUGCUUUUCUUGUAAAAACAUAUUAACAUAUCUUUUAAACUACAAAAUUAAUAUUUGGUUUUCUUAUCUUUGUUCUACCUCCUGUCUAGGCUUAGCUUUCAGCAUUUACCUAUUAGCCAUCUUUUGAAGUUAAUCUAGUCAUCUCCAUUUGUUUUUUUCAUAACAUAAUACCAAUAGGAGUUACCUGGUUUAAAAUACCUGAAAUAUGCUUUAGAAUCCUCAACAGGCAUCGAAAAUUGGUAAAACCUUGAUCCUUCCUCAAGUUGGAAAACAAUCCACAACUUCAUUUAGUGAAGGGAAAAUGAGAUAAAAGGUGAAAACCUUAAGUCAGCCAAUUAUUGCAACUUUGUUCCAUGGAUCCUGGCACUUGUAAAAUCUGUGGAAUGGAUCUUCUAUUGUCACAUCAGGAUAUUAAUUUUUGAGUGGGUUGGAACUUUCUCUAAGAUGCAUAGAUGAGAAUAUGCAACAUCUCUUGGCUUUUUAUACUGCCUAACUGACUUCUCUGUUUUUAGUUCAUCUACUUGUUUUUUUUUAUCUUUCUUUCAUUCUACCUUUUUGUUUUUUUGGUAAUCAUUAUCUUACUUGAAUGACGUUGCUUAAUGGAUGUUAAUAUCAUAUAUAACUGGAUACUACUGUUUUUUUGGUCCAGCUCUUGAUGCAGCUACAAAAGGAAAUCGUUAUAUAAAUUCCUGUCUCAGGUAUACUCACUGGUACUUAAAGCCUUUUGUGAAUUCAUCAUACAAAGUUCAGAGUGGAAAAUUAUAUAACAAGCUAUGAGCUCCUGUUUGCCUUUUUCCAUCUGAUAAUUUCCUUCCCAGUGCCUUAAUGGAUGUUAAUGGAGGGGUUUUGGGAACCGGAAAGAGAGGCUGAGGCUGGUGUUAGGAGUUAUGAAUGAUGUUAUGGAUACGUUUUCGUCUUCUGGGUGUUUACUUCCCUCAUAUUUGCAAAGAUCUUUCUCUAUGUUUUCUUUUUCUCUGACACCCUAUCAUCCCAGAACAUGGCUAAUUUGCUUUGCAAUGAUUCCUUAUUUUGCAGAUUAAACGAGGAAAUGAAAGGGAUUGACAAUCUUGCCUCGCAGUUGUAUCCUUUUUCUCAUAUUAUGCAAUUGGCAUCCUCCACUCGUCUUUUAUGUCUGAGAUGCAUGGGUGGGUGAUUGACCUUUCUGCAUUUUUUUUAUUUUGAAAGUUAGGUACCAGGGAGAUUUCUGCAUUGUUUCCUUUAUCCUUCCUGCUAGAUGUGAUUUGACCAUAUUUUAAAGAACUAUGUUGUUCUUGGGUACUUAAUUUGCUUCCUCCGCUAUUCAGAUGGAUACAGCUGGGCAAAAUUGUGAAACUUUGUGUUGCCCUCAACAAGUGUUUAUAUGCUUGUUUUGAGAAGUUUCAGCUAAUUAUUCUGUUGCUACAUUUUCAAUCCUGUGCAAUCUGAAAAUUUUCCUUUCCUUAAUACUUUCAAGAAAAAUCCUCAGGAGGAAUGUAGAUGCUUUGGAUUCAGCUGUAAAUAGGAUGGUUCGUCUUCCAUGAUGUGAACAAGUUGACAAACUAGAGCUUCACAAGGCCAGACCUUGCAAAGGAACAUGUAAUCCUGGUCUUGCUCUGAAGUACCAAGUUUACUACUCAUUUUUUCUGUUUCACACAUUGUGUGGUGGAUGCUUGUUUAUUGUGGUCUUGUCGGGUAGGGUUUUUGUUCAGAUGAUCGCUGCUUGUUACCACUCCAGGCAUACAUCACUAAUGUAUUUUGUUAGCAAAUGUUAUGCUUCUUCUUUAACCACAAAAGUAAUGGGACAAUAAAAAAAAAAAAAAAUUGGAUACUUCACCUUUUAUUUGUUUGAACUUUGCUUAGUUUUUUUGUUACAUGUGAAUUUUGUUCCUUUCUGGGGGGACUCGAUUUAUCUGUGACAGAGGACUUUUCAAACAAAAAAUUCAUGUGUGCACAGAAAUAUAAUAGGCUCGUCCAUGAACUCGACAAUGUUUCCGGAUGGGCCGCACAUACCCGUAGGCUUAAGUGGCUAAUCAAACGACAAGUCUGUUGUUGGGGGGGGGGGGGGGGAAUUUUUGCACAGUUUGAUUUUGUGGGCGCAGCCGGUUGUAAAUGGAGCGAGCUCAGAAUGAAAGCUGGUCGGGUUGAGGUAUUUGCCUGACACCGUCUAUCUUGGAUUUCGAAAAGUCCGUUGGCCGAAGAAAUUUGUUGAAAGUACGGUAUUACCAGUCCAUGGUCCAUAUACCCUAUGACAAAAAAAAAAAAAAAAAGAAAUUUGUUGAAAGUAAAAUAAUAGAAAGGAGUUGUUGUCAUGAUUAAUGACCUUCCAGCGGGUACAGAACGUCCAAGGGCAAGAGCCACCGCCGCCGCCACCGCCCCAUUAGUUGACACCAAUUCCAUCGUCGUUCUUGCCACUCAUGAUAACAAAAACUGUCUGCUUUGUUGGAUUGGAUCAGGGGGCCCGUCCGGUUGAUGUAUUUUAUAUCACUUUUGUGUACAAAAAAUUUUGUGUAACAGUGGUGUCUGCUCUAAUUUAAGUAUAUGAGUUGACAAACUCACGUAUAGAUCAAAAAGAUAGAUUUAUUUACAUUAAAUGUUCAUGGCGCUAUUGUAUUUGUACCUGCUCUCUCUUUAUGGUGGCAGGAAACUGGGCACGAGCCCAACAAAUGGAUGCAGAGAAAUCAGCUUUUCUUGUUAAUAUUCAAAUGAAUGAAUGAAGUAAAUUAUUCGGAUGGUGACUAAACUUUAAGAAUAGUUGAGUUUUGGCCAAUAAACUAUAUUAAAAGCUUGAUUUUGGUCGCUGAAUUAUCUAAAAUUUAGAUUUCGAGUCAUUUCGUUAGAUUUGAUCGUUAAUUAUGUCAGAUUUGAAUGCUCACGCAAUUCAUGAGACAAAAUGAAGGGGCAUGGUUAACUGUUAAAUUUGGCGAAAUGGUAUGAAAUCUAAAUUUUAGAUAAUUUAGUUAUUAAAACCAGACUUUUAAUAGCUAUAUGUGAUCAAAACUCGACGACGAUUCCAAUAUUUUAGUAACCAUCAAAAUAAUUUGCUCAUAAAGUAAUGAUAGCCUUGAUGAUAACGCAUCUUUUCUAACCAGAAAAGGACUAUAUCCAUCUUGUACGUUGUACCCAAUUUGCAAAAUUUAUAUCGGUUGAAGCUUAUAAAGUAUGCGCUAAACCUGUUUACUUUGGAAGAAUAACGCUCGACACAAAUUAUAGUUGAAGCAUUCUCGACUUCAUGUACUUCAUCCUAAUACAGCUGAAUAAUUUAAAAAAGUAGCGUAAAACUUUCUUGAGGAAAACAAUCGCAUCUAGGCAUGUUUGCCAGUAUUCAGUCAGCUUUGCUGAUUCUGUUGGGAUUGAGAUUUUAAUCUUUUUCUUUUUAUACUGAUUUUACAAAUUCUGUAAUUGUGUGGCAGACACUCACUUUCUUGCUUUCAUCCAACAUAAAAAGGAAGAACAUUCCAAAGCACCGAUCCGCACGUUAUCUAUUGUAAUGAAAACACGUUUGCACUAGGGAAACAAAUGCCACGAGAGUUGAAAUUCUUAAUCAAACCAUUUUAUCAUUGCGCACCCGUCAAGAAUCAGAUUCACAACACCAUCUGGUUUUUUUGGGCCCGAUCUCAUGAAUUAUUGCUGAAUAUCAGAAGUUACCAGAACUCAUAAUUCAUAGAAUGUUAAUCAAACCCGCAACCACGUGUGGAUGAAUGAUGAUAUCAUAAGUUUGAUUAUCAUAUUUUGCUAUAUUAGAAAAGAUUUUUAUAAAAGAUGCCUAAGUCACCCCAACCUACCACGUGAAUGCACGUACUAAUAAUUAUUGGAUUUGUCUAAAAAAUACCCACUGAUCACUCGUUAAAAUAUAUUUAAAGUAUCAUAUUUUUGAAAAUAUAAAAUUAAAUAGGAAAAGUAUAUAAAUGCAAGCGAAGAUAAUAAAUACAAAGGAAAGUAGGUAAGAUUAAAUAGGAAAGGUAUAUACAAAUGCAAGCGAAAGCAAUAUACAUGGUAGAUCAAAUGAAAUUAAGGUGUAUUAGUGAAUACCCAAUAGAAGUCCGUUAGAAAAAUGCAACAUGAUUAUAAAUUAUCUUCUCUUACAUUUAUAUGUCUGCCUUAAUUAACUUUACUUACCUAAACAUUUAAUACGAAAAUUAAUUUUUAUCGAGUGUCCAGUAAACACUCGUCAGUCAGACCAAAUAUAAGGCCUUCCAAUUAUCUUCAAGACCCAACUCAGUUGACAAGAAAACAUUAAUGUCACGGUUCCUAUAUCGGUUGAAUUUCAAAUCCACCCUUUCCCAGGGUUUAGAUUUUCCUGGAACCAAACCAAAAAAUUCGUGUCGACAGAUGGGCACCACGCCGUUCUAGAUUGUAUGAGGCUGAUGUUAUUGCAUCGCCAGGUAAUUAUCACAAAAUCAUCAACUGCACAACAAUCACUGCCUAGAAAAGUGAACGAACACUUACUUCCAGGAAAUGACAUGAGUCGUAGGUGUCUUUUUAUAAACGGCCAUUCACACUUGAGCCAAGACAAACAAUAGCAAAGAAUUAUGUAACUGUCCCUCCCUUUUUAAUCUGUAUGUGUGUCUUUUUCCGUCUAAAUUUCUGCAUCCCAGUACAUGACGUGCCCCAGCCGCAGUGAAAUUUAGCACACAUACGAUAUUAAGGGUGUGUUUGGAUUGUAAUUUUUUAAAUAAAAGUUGUUACUUUUUUUUUUAGAUAUAUUUUUUUAUCUCACAUCUAUCAAAUCGCUGCACUAAUUUUUCUAAAAAAAAAAAAAAGUUUAGAAAAAUACAAUCCAAACAAAAAGCCUAAUAAGUUCAUAGGAUGAAAAUAUAAUUAUUGGAUGUGGUCCAUGUGGGGGUGUAAUUUGGGUAAUGAGGGCCAGUUGAUCAACAUUUAUUAGGCCUCUCUUUUUGUUGUUUUGUUUCCUAGUAAUACUAGUGUGUGUGUGUGUGUGUGUUUCUUCAGCUACUCGUCAACAACUACCAACUCUCGCUGACUAUCCCAUGAGGACAAAGGAAAAAGAUUUCCGUGUUAUGGAAGAAAGAAGAAAAAGAAGCUUUGAGACUACUAUUUUUCAGCAGCCUCUCAAGGUACGUAUUCUCGUCAUGGAUUUCCACUUUCCACUGGGUUUAGUCCAAACUCCAAACCAAUGAGGAUUGUUAAUUUACAGCAAAUGACCGCAAACAGGAUUCUGAGAGAUAAUAACACAUGGAGUAAUGGUGCUUUAAAACUACAAGUUGCAUGCAUGUUCAUAAGAUUUUCUAUUCUGAAACUUUUCCACAAGGCAUUUUGUCGGCAAAUGGAUGAGAUUGAGUGUUCGGUAUGUGUUUCUAUAGAAUAAUGCCAAGAUUAAUUAUGAUUGUUAGCAACUAUAUGGGCCACUCAUGUGGUGUACGAAAGAUUAAUAAAAUGCACUUAUAGAGCUAGUCUUCUGAAUUAGUAGUCUUCAAAGGUGUUCAAGAAUUUGUUCAAUUUUUUCUUGAUUUGGUUAUGCAUCAUGAUUUUUUUUUUUUUUUUUUGCCUCAAUUUGUUCACGGGUUCAGCUUCAGUUGUGCAAAUUAACCCUUUGGGUAUAAUAAGAGCAGGCGAAGCUAAAGCCAAUAAAGGAAAAUUUUCAUUUGUAAAAGAGUGACACAGGACAAAUUUCAGAUCUCCCCCCCCACACCGCAAGAAAGACAGAAAUAUUUGUCCCUUGCGCCAAAUUCAAGGGCCAGCCCUUGAAAUUUUACGUUUGCAUGGGCAUAGACGGUGGACUGUUCGCGUUAAUGGAUUGAAUUGCUAGAUGUGAAAUACCACCAAACUGCAGUAAACGUGAGAAUCUUGGCCUAUUAUUAUUUUUUUUCACUGUUAUUGAAACUGGAAUCGCUCAUGAUUUUUAUGGUGCAUGGGCACUUACAGGAUUUUUAUGGUCACGAAUUAAGCUGCCAACUGCUCAAGGACACACACAUCAAUCCGCCUAAUGUGUGUCAGUGUCACGCCGUCGGCUGUUGUGCACAAUGCGCGAAAAUUGGACCCAUGACACAGUGACAUGGUUUGACAUUAGGGUAGUAGAACGAGUCUCCUCUCCAGUCUCCUCCCCUUAAUUCUAAACUCUUAUCUGUUUGAAAAUAUAUCAAUAAUGGGAAUGCCUACGACUUUUAGUUCCGACAUAUUCACAAAUAUUAUUAUUGUUUCUAGUUUUAUUAGAAAUAUGCAAAAACGUUAUUGACCACCAACAAUUAUAAAUAACUAUAAAAAAGUAAUCAUUUCUCCUACAUAAACAUCUUGUUUUAGUUUUUUUUUUUCUUAAGAUUCAAUAACUGUUAAUUGAAUAAAAAAUAAAUACAGCAGCUUAAAAAAAGUAAUAUAUAAUAGAAAAUUAAAAAAUACAGUAGAAAAUUCAUAAAAAAUCUCAUUUUUUAUGCAUUUUGAUUUUUUGAGUUUGUUAAAUUUUGUGUAUAACUCAAUUAAUAGUUAUUGAAUCUUAAGAAAACAAAAAAGAACUAAAACAUGAUAUUUAUGUAGGAGAAAUAGCAAUAUAAUAAAAAGUGAGACAGAGAGUGGCACAGGAUGUGGAACAGAAGAUCCGUUGCGGUAAAAAAACUCGUUUUUUCCUGGCCGAGCUUCUAAGAUUCUCUACAAGACUAAAUUGGCAAUCAACUCCUCAAGUCAGAGAGCUAUUUAUGCAUCUUAUUUGACUCUCAAAAUCGAUUUUUUUUUCCCUUCUUCUUACAACAUUUCCCUUCGAACUACAAAUAAAAGGACUAUUUAUUCACAAGCUCAAGUGACCUCCCAUGUCGUACUGACAUAAUUUGAUGUGCAAAUCAAAGUCAACUGAUAAACUAAUUAGAUUAGAAGAAAAAAAGCAUGUAACAAGUUGAAUUUCGAAGUCGAACGGUACUCUAAAGAAAAAAAAUAGGGCUACCUCAUGUCCACGUACACAUGCACAAGAUCAGAAGAAACAAAUUACUAAUUCAGUAGUAGACUGUGUAAGUGUCAUGUCCUCCACUCAAUACGAAAUCAAACACUCUUUGAUCGUACAAUAAUUGUAGAUUGUUUUUUAACAAUAAUUAUAUUCAUUGAUUUCAUCACUCGCCGGCAGCAGCAGCCAAUUAUAGGCCACCGCCAGGCCGCCUCCCGCAAUCAUUUUUUUUUGAACCAGAACAUCUGCCAAACCAUAACCAGGGAAUUUGUCGAUAACUAUUCUUAAGACUUUAAUUAAAAUUCACAUUAGACGAAUGCUUCAUUUUUUUCCCAAUAGCUCAAAUUUUGCUACUUCUCCUCUAUAUAUUGUUCAUUGUUUACCUUGAGGAAAUUCUUAAUAUAUUUGAAAAUUUAUUAAAUCGUCAUAGCAACCAAAAAAUUUUCUUGCCAUGUGUAUGAUAAAUUGCCAUACAAAUAAACAGAAAAUCUUUAGAGAUCUAUUGUGUUAAUUCAUGAUUUUUUUUUAUUGGUAGAAUGCAUAAUGAUAACUCUUCCAGACGAUCGACUAUUAACUAACCUUGGUGUUAAUUCUAAUGCUAAUUAUGACUUAGAUUCUCUGGCGAUGGGUCAUUUCUCUUUUCCUUUAAAAUGAAACUUUUAUAUUUCACACUAAACUAUGAUCAUUAUCAAAGCCAAGGUUUAAGCAUGAUUAGUUUUCCAUAGUUAAAGUCCACAUGCAUGGUAACAAAUAUAUUAACAAGGGAAUAAAUUUUGAAAUUGCAUUAGUUUGGAAAUAUUUUUUAAGAGGAAGAUUAUAUUGGCAUUGCACUCCACAUUUUUCUAAUAAAACUUGGUAGUCCUAGUCCUGUCUGAUAAUUUACUAUUUCUUGUUUGUUUCCACAUUUACCAUAUCUGUGUCCGAGUACCCAAGAUUUUUGUCGGACUCUUUAUUUUGUUUUUCUGUAAAUUGUAAAAACUAGCUACAAAUACAAUAAGUUUAGCCUAUUAUUUUUUGUGUUUUUGUUUCUGAGCAAUUAUUUUUGCAUGGUUUCACUUUCACUUCCAUAAGGACCGUAACCACUUAAGUUGAUGGUUUCUUCACCUCUCCUGUAGGUCCCAAAUGUUUCAGUUCCUGCACCAAAGGUGCUGAGAUCUUUAAUAAUGUCUGCCCUUUUCUUCCCUAUCAAUUUCUUUUUGUAAUCCAAGCAAACAAAAAAAAAAAAGUGAUGUAUAGUGGGCUUCUCCAGUCUGUCCCGUAAUUUCAGCUCUUGUCCUCUUACUCUAUCAACCGUUAACUCGAAAUCCUUAUCUCUUCAGUGAUGGUCCUGAUGGAUGUGAGUUUUCUACUCCAUGAAAAACCUUGUCCGAAUUUACCAUGACGAACACGUGCACAUGCAUGUAUUUGUGAGAGUUUUCUCGGACUUUUCUGGGAGAGUUCACUUGAAAAAAUCCCCCAUAUCCCGGUCUUAUCGUUCUGGAGUGUGAAUCAAGGAAAAUCCAGGUCUUGAAGUUGAGAGUCAUGCAGAAAACUCAUUGUUUUGCAUGCGCUUUAGUUCCCUACGAGCAAAGCCUUCGUGGAUUAAUCACAAAAGUUUGAGGCACUAGCUAGUAGUUGGUUCUGUUUAAAGUCUUCUUGCAGCCAUACAAAUUUCAGUUUUUUUUCUUUUUGUAGGGUAGAAAUUCGAGUUAUACUAAGCUGGGAAGUAGGAUUGCGCCGGAAGUCAAAGUUUAGCCUUAUCAGCUUAAGAAGGAAAGGGUGUGCAGUGUGCUACAGGAUAAUGGCAACAGGACGACUCCAAAAUCAACCGGCUGAGAGUCUGAGGAAGCAGCUCGCUCUUGCUGUUAAAAGUAUUCAAUGGAGCUAUGCAAUUUUCUGGUCCAUUUCCUGUAGACAACCAGGGUAUUCAAUAGUAUUCCGCUUCUGCUUUGCUGACGUCCUUUGUUUUAUUCAAUUGUUUGUUUUUUUGAAAAUCUUCCGCAGAAUUUUUGCAGCAAAUUUUUGUUGCCUUUGUCCUCCAUCACCAUUUUUCUCUCAGAAGGUCUUUUUCUUCCCCCGCCCUUCUGUGUAUCUUUUUCCUUUUUCAAUAUUGUUAGUCUAAAGGGUUACUGCAGAAACUACUAUGAAGUAUGAGAUUCCAGGAAUAUAUGGAAUAGACAAAUGAAUGGCGUCACAUGAGUACAUAUUCUGGGGAAUCUUCUGAGGUUGUAAGAACAAUUAAUUUUAGUACAUAAGAAACUUUUUUUUUUUUUUCUAAAUUACCUUCGCUGACCAUUUUAACCAAAAUUCUAACAGUGGAAUAUUCCAAGCUUACCGUUUCCAAACAAACCCAGAAAUAUGCGAUAUUAUGCUGACUUUCAAUCUUACUUGUUUCUUUUUUAUUUCUAACUUUAACAAAUAUCAGUAAUUAUCAGCACUAAGGAAGAUUUUUCAUGAGUGCAUAAGGUAAUUUGAUGCUACUGGAACUAACUGUGUAGGGUGCUAGAAUGGAUUGAUGGAUACUACAAUGGAGAUAUAAAGACAAGGAAAACGAUUCAAGCAGCGGAGCCUAGUGCUGAUCAGCUGGAAUUGCAGAGGAGUGAGCAACUGAGAGAGCUUUAUGAGUCCCUCUCGGCAGCCGAGACCAGCCUUCAAGCUAAAAGGCCUUCAGUUGCUUUGUCUCCAGAAGACCUCACAGAUACCGAGUGGUAUUUCUUGGUUUGCAUGUCUUUCGUGUUCAUCACCGGCCAAGGGUAAAUUCCUUUUCAUCCUUUUGCCCUUUUUUGGAUGUUAUUUUCAUUUAGGGUCUGUUUGAUUGAUUGAUUGGGUGUAAGAUAUUUUCCCUGGAAAAUGAAUGCUUUCCCAUUCGUUUUCCGGUGUUUGGUUGACUAGUUUGGGCUCCUAGACCUUAGAUCUCGAAUGUCCAACCCACAGCAGCAGCACCUUGCAUCUUGCAUCCUAACAUACGUUUUGCUUCGUCAUGCCUAGCACUAGCAAAGCUGCCUACCAUCCACGUUCUUUUGUCACCACAGCUGCAAAAAACUCCCCCCAUCACCACCAUUGCCACCACUUCCUCUUUGCCAGUCCCAGCACCAUCCCCACGGCAAAAGAAAAUUAUCUUCAAUUGGGAAGUCUCAUGAAACAACGAGAAGUUCUUCAAAAAUACCAAUUGCGGGUAUUGCAGAAAUUGAGAUUCAUUAGAUUAGUUCAUCAAUAAAGGAGUAUCUUUUUCCAGAAAAUAUCUUCCGAAAAAUAUUUCUGACCCCUCUGUCAAGUCUGCCAUUCAUUCAUGUCAAGUCUGCCUUUAUAGCAUAAGAUAUUUCUUUGGCAGACUCUACUUCCCUCAAGAGGCUUGACAACUUGGACAUAAAUAAUGUGAGCUGAAACAUUAUUAUCAGUGCUCUUCACACAUGAGUGACUCUAACGAAAACAAAAUCAUUCAACAUGGUUAUGAGUCCAUGAAUUAGAUUACCCAUCAAGAACACGCAAAGUUUUUUGUUUUUGAAAGGAGACCACGCAAAGUUUGUUCAUGCAAUUUCAAAAUUGUGACAUAUUGAGUGUAUUUAGAUAUAAGAUUAUUUGAAAUAUUAUUUAGAGUAUUUAUUAGAAUAUUUUUUAUGAUGUGAUGUAUGUAAAAUAAAAAAAUUAAUUGAAAAACGUGUUUACGAUAUAAGUAAAUAAUUUCUUACAAAUAAUGUGAUAUCUUUUUUUUUAUGGAUACGAUAAUUUCUAUUCUAUACCUACACCUACUUCUACUCUAUACUAAGGGGAAGGGGUGAGCCCAAAUGAAAAAUCCGGAGAGAACUGGACCAAACAGGUACACCUACUACUACUUUACACUAUAAGAAAGGAGUGAACCCAAAUGGGUCACUAAAAAAUUCGGAGGAAACUGGAUCAGACGGGUACCUCUGCACCACCCGUCGUCAGCGAAUGCAAAUCAGAAAAUUUGAUUCCUUACCCUGCAUUCAUAUAGAACUUUAAGCCUGCUAGCCAAUUACCUUAGAGGUAGUUGGUUAAUAAUGUGAUGAAAGCAUUUGGCCGCUUUCGACAUAUGAUGGGCGUCCAAGCAAUCUUGAUGAUGGUACAAGUACGGUAUGACGGGUCUCCUUCAUAAAUGCUUUACGUGUACCCAUCUAAAUUCACUGAAAAAAUUGGACAAAAAGUACAUAUUGCUUCCUCUAGUUAUAAGGACCUGAUUCACAUGUGUCCAUGAUCCAAGUGGGCACCGACCGAUGGUCCUUUACCUGCAAUGGCAACGUGCAUGCGGUCGGGUCGAUAAUACUAACCAUUUUCACCCUCCGGUUUGGCCAGUGGCUAAUUUUAGUCACCAUUGCGUCCACAGAGAGCAACGACGCCUUUGGAGACUGGGGAGCAAUAAUAAUGCAACCAAACUUCGAAGUUGAACCUUUUGCUUACUUUAAUUUGCCAUUUGAACAUGGGUUUAAAAUUAAUUUCUUGGCAAUGUCAAGAAUGGGUUGGAAUGGCUAAAAUCUAAAUCGAUUAACAUUUUAUUGAAUGAGUGUUUUUGCUUUGAAAUCCACUACCAGAUUGCCAGGACGUACGCUAGCAAAGAAUCAGAUUACGUGGCUAUGCAAUGCUCACCAGGCAGACAGCAAAGUGUUCCCUCGGUCUCUGCUUGCCAAGGCAAGUGAAGGGCAUCUGGUUGCUGAAUUUUAUUGGAUCAUUCAUCAUUCCCAGAAGAUUAACAUCUUUUUUUUUUUGGGUUUCGUUUCUGACCUGAAUCAUUGGACUUUUGCUGCCUUCAUCAGAGCGCAUCUAUUCAGGUAAUAUGCCACGCUAUCACCUUUUAUAUUUGUGCCCACCUGUUGAGGUCAUUCAGAAAUUUGUACGAAAUUCUGCCUUUUAAAAACGCUAAAUGCAGGGAAAAUUUUAAAUCAAUGUCGUACUCGAUGAUUUUUUGACCCAAAUGAUGGCACUAACUGGAGCUUGAUUCCCCACUUUUCUUGAUUACAUUUAGACUGUUGUUUGCUUUCCACAUCUAGGAGGUGUAGUGGAGCUAGGAGUAACAGAACCAGUAAGCCUUAUUCUUGGACUUGCUCUCCACUUUAAUUAUCUGAAUGAAAUCUUAUCUUUUGAUGAUGGACAUAUUUGUUUUGCUGCUGUACGAUAUUUGAAGGUUGUAGAGGACAGAAAUCUCAUUCGACACAUAAAAUCUGCCUUCCUGGAUAAUCCUUACCCCGUCAUUUCCAAAAUUCCUCAAUAUGUCCCAAAUACAAAUGCCAAAGACAUUGUUGUCUGCGGUCUUGAUGAUGACAUGAUUGAAGCUAAUUUUGAGCCGCUGGUUGAAUGCGAAGAUGUAAAGAUUUGUUCUCCCAGUAACAGUACAACUGGUUUUGAGGACGCUGAUCAGCAGGCACAGAAUUCACAUAUGAUGGAAGGCACCAGUGAUGAGGCUUGUCAUGUACAAAGCUGGCGAUUCAUGGAUGAUGAAAUUAGCAAUUGUAUCCAUGACUCUAUGAAUUCCGGAGACUGCACACCUCAAACAUAUGCAAAUGGUGAAAAAGGGGUUCCACUUUCUAAUGAAGAAACAGUAAACCAUGAUUUUAAGCAUGACCUGCAAGAAUGCAAUCUAAAGAAACUGGAUCACUUUAACUUUCGCAGUGAUGAUGCUCACUAUCAAGGUGUUCUUUCUGCUCUAUUGAAAAGCUCGCACCAGCUAAUUUUGGGACCAUAUUUCACAAAUAGCAAUCAAGAAUCAAGCUUUGUAAGCUGGAAGAUAGAGAGACCACAGUUUGUCCAGAAACAAGGGGCGAUGUCACAAAGAGUUCUAAAGAGUGUAGUGUUCGAAGUUCCUAGGAUGCACGGUGACUGGAAACUCAAGUCCAGUAAAGGCUAUGGCAAAAGAGAGAGCAUUUGGAGACCAGAGGCUGAUGAAAUUGAUAACAAUCACGUCUUGGCUGAAAGGAAAAGGAGAGAAAAAUUAAACGAAAGAUUUAUGAUGCUUGGAUCAUUGGUCCCAUCCAAUGGCAAGGUACUUAAAUAUCAAUUUUUCUUCUUUUUUUUUUUGGUAAUUAUCGAAACGCGUAAUGCACUAAUAGAAGCUCAAUUGCUUCUCAUAUUCCAGCUUGAUAAAGUUUCAAUACUGGAUGGUGCAAUUGACUAUCUGAAAGAGCUUGAAAGAAGAGUAGAGGAGCUUGAAUCCGUCAAAGAGGCGAUAGAGCUAGAGGCAAGAACAAAGAGGCUGCAGCAAGAAGCAACAGAGAGGACCUCUGGUAAUUAUAUCAUGAAUAAAGUUGGCAAGAGCAGGAAGCCCGUAAUCAGCAAGAGGAAGGCAAGUAAUCUUGAAGAAAUUGAAGCUGAAACCAAUUACUGUACCUUGACAGAGUGCUCAAGUGAUGAUCUAACUGUGACAGUGAUCAACAGGAAUGCCUUGAUUGAACUUGAGUGUCCUUGGACAGAGUCUGUCUUUUGUGAAAUUAUGGAGGCAGUAAGCAAGCUCAAUCUAGAUUCUCACACCGUUCAAUCUUCCAACACUGAUGGAACUCUCACUGUUAAAAUUAGAGCUAAGGUUUGAUUCCUAUUUCUUGAUUUACUAUUAAUGAACCUCCAAUUCAGCUAGUUACCAUCUUGUAGAGAAAGUUGCAUUUUCAAGUAGCACUAUUACGAACUGUAUUUAUCUAACAGCUUUCACGGAAUGAAUUUCAGUUCAAGGGAUCAAAAGUUGCAACACCUGGUAUGAUCAGACGAGCACUUCAGAGAGUCCUCCGAAAGUACUGAAGACUGAAGAUGACCAUGUUGCAAGACGAGUUUCAGUUCAUGAUGGUAGCUUUAGUUAGUGACUCAAGUGUAUGUACAACAUGCUGUAAUCUUCCAAUAUUUUCAGGGAUUCUGACAGUUAAAAAAAGGGCCAGAUGGUUAAAGAGGCAUUUGCCCAGAGGAGGGCAGUCUAAUAAAUGGAAAGCGUUCUUCUUUAUAUCCAGAAUAUCACAAUAAUCCUUUGAAGUGGGACAUACCUAUAUAUACCUGCAGACUUUUGUUUACAGCAGAGCACAAAAAUGAAAAAUCCACAGGGUUCAUUAUGAGAUCCCUAAGCACAAGACGCUCUAACAGGAUAACUUUGACUGACGCAGCUGAACUAGUAUUGUAAGGAAUUUAUGAAGAGAGUUUAGUAUGGGAGAGGACUGUUCAAGAAUAUUAACCAAAUAGUACAAGUCGAAAAAGGGGAAGAUAGAAAUGCUCUUUACAAUUUACAACUGUCAAGCUUCAGGGCACCGGGAUUUCAUAAUGCAACCUCAAAGGGUACAUGAAUCACCCAUCUAACUUAGCAUCAGAACUUGGUCCCUACCAAUCAAGUCACGAUAAAAGAUGUUCAAGUGACUGAGAUUCUCUGACUUUAACUUUGCGCUGACAAUGAUGCUAAGUUUAGGAUUGUCUCUUCUUUUUCUUUUCUCAUGCAGAUCCGAUCAAUUUAUCAUCUGAAUGACAAUUUAUCCAAUCAAUUCCACUGUUAAUGAAUCAAAUCCUCAAUUUUAGGUACGCUUUUGUAAUCUAUGAUUUUGCUAAGCAAUACCAGGAGCAUAGCUCUUCUUCCCUGUUAAAGAAAAGGAAGAAUUCCAACUGGUUUAGAAAAUGACCAAGAAAGACGCGCAAAAAAAAUUUGAUCUCAGGACCCAAGUCUUUUGGUUUAGGCUUGUAGCAGACAACUUGCUUGUAGAAUUUGGUACAACUUAUCUCACGAAAUCGGUUAGCAAGCUUGAUGUUAUUCAAGUUGCUUAUGAUCUCAAGAACUUCUCUCUUGAAGUUGUUUAUUAUCGUAUAAAAAUUCUCUGGAAGUUUUAUAUGAUUUCCUCUUACGUUAUUUUCUUUCUAUUUCUGCAACGUGCUGCAGAGGAAAAAGAAUUCGUGGCAUCCGCCAAAACCUAAUCACUGGACCAAGAAAAAUAAAUGUGGAGCUGAGGCCAAUGCUACUCUGUCUCUGCGAGCAACCAAUCAGAGGGGCAUUUGUUACUGUAAAGAAGGGCAGAGGGGUCAGAGUUCAGCCACAAAGCAGAAGAAAGCAGCCUUCACAUCCAGUGGAAUGUCCAGCUAUAAAAGCAUUCUAAAAAAUUAAUAGAACACCCUGCAAUGAACAUUUAACUCACUCGUUCUAAUUCAAUGUACUUCAAACGAAACGACAAUGAUCACUCAAGACGAAUUCAAUCACUAAAGUUGCUUGUCUCCGGAAUAUAUCUGUUUUUACCAGAAACUCUUACUACCAAGGAGGAGAAAUAGGACAGAUACGUUCUUUUCCCUACACUGUAUAUCGAUAUGAUUGCAGCAGAUUCGAUAGCAAACAACGUGAAAAAUAGUAAAUAUUUCUUCAUAAAAAAAAUUUCAUGAAUCACUUAUCAGCAUCUUUGACUACAAGAAUUAGUUACUUUUAAUAGCUAUAUUUUGUCUUUCAGGCACAUGGUAGAGAAGGCAGAGGCUAUUUUACAGAACUUGAGACCAUUCCCAGAACCUCAGAAGAUCCAACGCUUGAGGGAUUUAAGAACUUCUCCUUUUCUUAGUAAUGUAAAGCCACAAGAUUUUUCCAAACUUUAUCAACCACGCUGCAUAUCACAUGAUAUUAUUCCCAUUCAAUUGUUGAUGGAGGCUUCGAAGUAAUAUCUUGAACAACUCGAUUUAUCCCACGUACACUAUUGCAUAUCUUUCUUGCAACAUCAUCGAGGAAAUUGUGUUCAAAAUUGUACCUAAACAUCCCAACCAUUUAGAUAUAGGAUUCCGAAGGGAAAAAAGAAAAGAAGAAAACAAAGAACAAAAAGAGAGAGUAUUUAUGUCUGAAAAUAGGCAGAUAAACCACAGUACACACACACACAGAGACAGAAGAAAACCAGUUGGCAUAAGUAACCACAUAUCCUUGAAACUGAACCUAAAAGUAAAUAUCAUACCACUACUGGCAAAAGUAAGGACAAGUAUAAGAAAUGAUAAUGAGCUGUUAUAACAAUUCAAAAUCCUCAUUCACAUAAGUUUAACUAGUCCAACAAUCUGCUUAGUUUGAAGGGAUGCCAAUCCUUCCUACUGCUACAUGUUUAUGCAUUCAAUCAAGAAACCAUUUCAGUUCUACAACUUGAAGUUCAAACCUUUUUUUGUGAAAAGGAUAAGACAGAUGAAUAAAUACUUUAAACAUUGUUGCAAUGGAGAAACUAAUAGAUGAAUGCAUAUGUUCUGUAUGAUUGUCAAGACAUGCAGUUCAAAAGAUGCAAAGAAGAAUCAUUUCUCAAUUGCUUACAACGAUAGAGGUAAUCAAAGAAUUGCAAAGCGCAUAAAUACCAGUCAGCAGUCAUCCCAUCUUGACUUGUGACAGCUCUCAAUGCAACAACAUGAGAAUGUGUUCUUUGAUCUCCUUGAACUCCAACUGACCUUAUGGGCAAGAAAACAGCAAAAGCUUGCCAUAUUUUAUCAUAGAUCCCAGCAUCUUUGAUUGACUGAAUGAAAAUCUCAUCAACCUACAAGACGUAUUUGUAAGGAACAGGCAUAGAAUGUAACACCAAGACAGCUGACCUGUACUGAAUGAACAAAUGGUCCAAAACCUGGCGAAGAAUAUCCAGCGCAUUUCCUUGAGUGACGUCACCCAGAACCCUCACUGCAAGACCAGGCCCAGGGAAGGGGUGUCGCUUUAAAAAGGCCUCUGGGACAUUUAAAAUACUUCCCAAUGCACGAACCUGCAAAUGAAUUCAAGCAUUAGCAAGUUAAAAUAUCAGUUUAUCAUUUAUUGCAGCAGAAGAAACAUCAUAAAAAUGUUUUCGGGAUGGAGAUAUAGAAUGGAGAACCUCAUCCUUGAAUAAAAGUUUAAGUGGUUCAAUGAGCUUUAGCUUCAUGUUCUUUGGCAGCCCUCCAACAUUAUGAUGACUCUUGAUUGUGUGGGAAUGGGUGCUUUGAGUUCCAGGUGGCGGACAAGAUUCAAUCACAUCAGGAUACAAUGUUCCUUGGACCAAGUAAGCAGGUCUCUUUCCGAAUUUCUGCUCCAGAUCAUGAGCAAAUGCAUCAAAAAUGUUGAUAAACUCCUUUCCAAUUAUUUUUCUCUUCAUUUCAGGAUCAACCACCCCUUUAAGCUGGCUAAGGAACUGCUCUGUGGCAUCAACACAAGUAACAGGUAAAUGAAGGUCCCUUUCAAAAGUUUCCAUCACCCGUUCUCUCUCCUUAUACCUAGAACAAACAAAAGAGGUGAAUCAGAAUCCAAAGACAUGAAUAAAUCCCUAACAGUGUCAAAUACUACAUUGCAAAGUCAUUUCUAGUACAUUAUUAUCCAUGAUGUUGAGAAGAUAUCUUUAGUAGUACCAGUUACAUCAAAAUUGAUAUUUUUGUGAGUAGUACCAGUUACAUGAAAAUUGAUAUUUUUGUGCAGUCUUUCUUAUGAUUUUCUAAUAGUAGGCCAAAUCCUUCAAAUCAACACCAGAAAAGCAUUGAGAAAUUUUCAACUUCUAUAUCAAAAUUCUAUAGAACCAUUAGCCUUUACAAAGUCAGCAGAUCCUAACCUUUCCUUAAGCUAAAAGCUGUUUUGACUUCUUUUAGGCUGCUAACAGAUGCACCUGGCGUCUGCUUUGAUUAUUCUCUUUGAAACAAAAAGAUAUUCGAAGGGUGUUUUGUGUAAUAGCUAUUUCUUUCCAAGCUUCUAAGACAAUAAUAAUACUUUAAUCUUCCACAAGUUUUUCCAGGAGUCACUUCUUAAUUAUCUCUAAUAUAAGCUGAAGCUCACUCGGAUAAUCUCCAUAACAUGAAUAAGAGAAAUUAAAAUAAAAAAGGAAAAAGAAAAAAGAAAAGAGGGUAAAUAGUGAAAAGAAAGGAAAAGAAGGAAAAGGCAACACAAUCCCUCAACAUCCAUUUUUGCUCCCCCUAUAAACUUUGUCGUUCAUGUGAUAUCCCAAUCAAGAACAUGAACAAGAAAAAGAAAAAGCAGUGAAAAAAACAAAGAAAAGGUUGAUAAGGUAGCUUGGGUAUCUCCUAGCGACAUCUAAAGUAUAACAACACCAUGACAAUACUAACCAUCUUCUAAAUGCAUUAAGGAUUGCUCCAAAAUUUAACAUUAGAGUCUACUAUAAUAAUGAAGCACUUAUGCUAAUGAACCAUAAUAGUCGAAAGUAUUGGCAUACAAACCUCAAUAAACCAUUAUCAACAAAGACACAGUGGAGCCUGUCUCCAAUUGCUUUAUGAACAAGAGUAGCAGCAACAGUAGAAUCGACACCCCCAGAUAAUGCACAAAUGACAUGAUCUUCAAGUCUGACCUUUUCCUGAAUGGCUUUUAUUUCUUGCUCAAGGACAUCUUCCAUCUUCCACUCAGCACUAACACCACAAACAUCAAAAAGGAAGUGUUGUAAUGUUUCCAUCCCUUCAUGCGUAUGAGUGACCUGCCCCAUAUUGAAAAACUUGUAAAAUAUCUAGUAACAAACUUUUUGCUUAUGGCCAUACAGGUCACAUGACUCUAUCACUUAGAUAAAGUAUAUGUAAAUCAUGACGUAAAGAAACACAAUCAAAAUAAUCCUUUUCUAUUUCAUUUUUCAUACAGACAGUAGGAUUGUACAGUGCUAGCCACCCACUUUGUCUGAUUGGUGUCUUUCUAAACGAGUAAUCUGGUAACUAUUUAGUCAUUCUAUAACACUGGGGCAUAUCAAGAACAUGGUUCCAACAUGACAUAUUUACCUGUAUAUAUCAAUCACCCGGUUUUUUAUUUGCAAGGCAGCACGCAAAAUGAAAAAUGCAAUUCAUUUAUUUUUUUAGUCUCCACAGUGAUCAAUGACAAGAUGCCACAUGCUCAGUUACGGACUUACACCUAAGAAGACAUGAUGCUUUAAGAAAAUUGUGUCCAGUUAAAAAUCCUUCGAACAUGUCAUAGCAUUUGUCUCAAAUGUCCUACACAAUAGAUGUUGGAUACUAGUACUUAUAGAUGGCAUGAGGGAAUAAAAGCAGGUUGAUUUUGCAAACAGAGCUGCAAGAUGGGAAAUUUCAAAGUAUAUAAAUGAAAUGUACUAUAUUUGGAGCUUUGAUUUCUCACUUUGCUAUGGGUACGGAGUUAAUUAGUAUUGUUGCUGAUACAUAUAAACUUUAAAGAAACAAGAGCAGCCUAAAAACUCAGCUACUCUAUAGCUAUAACACCAUCAUCAACAUGACCCAAUAACCCAUAUAUCAAACUUAAAUAAAACAUUGACUUUAUAUGUACCUUUUACUCCAAUUUCGUGCUGGAAAACAAAUCAAGAAUUUUUUAAUUGUUCCAGUCCGAUAGGCUGUGAAGACAAGUCUAAAAUUGGUUAUUUUCCAAAGUGAGACCCAUGUAACAAACGUUCCAUCGCAAUGAUCAUUGUAACAUUGGACAAAUACAAAAUGCAAUGAUCAUUAAUCUCGGUAAUUGCACAUUCUUUUAGCGCUGCAUGAUUAAAAAAUGUACAAACAAUUACACAGUUCAACGUUAUCAACCAAAUUUUACCUCAUAUACCAAUUAAUUCAAGCUAAAUACACAAAUUUUACCUCAGGAUGGUAUUGAAACCCAUAAAACCUCCUCUUGUUGUCCUCCACCGCAGCGACCGCCCCCUGUUGACUCCUGGCCGCAACCUCAAACCCCUGAGGCAAAUUCACAGCCUCAUCUCCAUGACUCAUCCAAACAACCUGUUUAUCCCCAACCUUUCUAUUCCCAAACAACCCACAAGCCUUCUGCACCUCAAUCUCCAUCCUUCCAUACUCCUGCUUCUCUCCAAUACUCACUUGCCCGCCAAGCCUCUGCACGAGCAGCUGCAGCCCAUAACAAAUACCCAAAACAGGAAUCUUCUCCGACUCAACAUACUCGAUGAACCCAGAUGGAAAACACGGUGCUUGGGGCGCGUGGACGCUGUGGGGACCACCAGAGAGGAUAAUCACUUUCGGGUUUUCUUUACGGAUGGAUUCGAGUGAGGCUGUACCGUUUAAGCAGAGGGAGUAGACUGAGAGCUGGCGGAUUCUUCGGGUGAUGAGGUGCGUAUAUUGGGAGCCAUAGUCUAGGAUUAGGACUAGGUCGGAUUUGACGUCCUGAGAAUCCAUUUGGGAGAAGGAUUGUCGGUUUGGCCGGAGAAGAAGGAGCAGGGUUUUAGGAGGGUUUUAGGUGGGUGAAACGAGAACGGGGUGUGCGUGUGAGUUUCUUCCGUUUCGGAAAAAAAAGGAGAACGGGGUGGCUAGGGUUAUUGGGUCCGGUUGGCGGGAAGUGGAGCCAAAUAGUACUCCUAUCUGACUUUAGUUUAAUUUAGAGUGAAUGGCCCAAAAGGUCACUAAACUAUUAAAAAUGGCACCUUUUGGUCAUCAAACUUUUUUUGUGACCCAAAAGGUCACUAAACUCACAAAAACACGCCAGCGGAGUCCUUUAACCGAUUUUCAGCGGUUUCUCAUCCGGUGGCAUGGACAAUGUGUAGUGGAGGAAUAUAAUAAAGGGGCAAAAAUGUCCGAAAGGUUAUUGGAACAAGUGAAGCCCAAAAUUUUUCGUUCCCGAAGUUGACCAACCUCCACCCAUAGAUUGACUUCAUCUCCAGCAGUAAAAGUAGUGACUGCGACCACCUCUAGAGCAAAUCAAAAUAGGAAAUAACAAGAUUUACAGCCUAAUUAGUUCAUUGAUUCCUUUUUUUUCAUCUCACACAAAUCUUCGUUCAGUCUGAGGAAUUGAAGAAAAAAAGCAGAGAAUAGAGAAAAAUGUUCAACAGGGAGCAGAAAAAUUCCAUCUCAAAGCGAAAAAAAGCUGGACAAAGGGAAUAAUUUUUUCCCCAGAAAAAGGAAGAAAUUCAAUCGCAAGCGAAGACUUGGGAGGGCAACCGCAAGACAUCAGAUUUGGAGAAGCAGAAGUCAUCGAUGGUGUCGAUGGCCUAAAGCAGCCUUAUCAUUCCCUUCAUAAUCAGUGGCUUCCUAGCCCAUUCAUUACCUUCCUUUCCGUUAACUAUUGAGUCGAUUUCAUCUCAUCUCCUUCGACUGAGCUGCAUCUGUCCUUUACGCAUUUAAUUUCUUGACGAAAUGCCUUUCACUUUCGAUCGAAUUCCUCUGUCUUCCCCUUCGCCGGAGCUUGACUAGAAAGACGAAAUAGCCUUGACUUCAUUCAGUGCGCUACCUAGAAUUCGAUUCUUGACUGGUGCUAUCUAUAAACCAACAAUCUAAAGCCUUGGGCAGAGUCUGAGCUUAUCUUCCAAGGGUUAGGUUCAAGGGCUGGUCUCCUUCGCUUCUUCAGAGUAAGACUCUUAGCCAACCGCCUGUUGACUACUCUUUACAUUGCAGAAGGGAAGAAAGUGAAAAGGCCGAUUGCAAUUGAAUAUGAUUCCUUUGCUGCGACAUCCAGUCUUGGUGGAUGAUCUCCCAACAAGUCAAGCUUCCUUUACCCGGGGCUAGAAAUCCUUCUCACGAAGGAAGUGGCUUUUCUUUCGAGUGCUAGCUUUCUACUGCGGCACCACCUACAUUUGGCGUUCAACGAGCACUCGGAUCUUGACCUGACAUCAGUGCAAUCUCGGAUGCUCCCGCGAGUCGAAGCUUUAGUGACGUCGCUUCGGGGAUUGGUGCGACAGAUUUAGGAACCACGAAUAGGAGGAAAAUAAUGAAGGAAAGAUGUAAGAUGGGGCGGUGGCGGAGAUGAAGGAUGGAUUUAGAUUUGUUAGUGUGAGUAUUAAUUGACAUUUUUUAGGAUUUAAUAUUUGGGCUUACAAAUUUGAAGGCGAUAGCUAGGGAAAUGAUCAAUUGGUCAACUUUUGGGAACGAAACAAUCUAUGAGUUCACCUGUCCCAAUAAUCUUUUGGACAUUUUUGCCCAUAUCAGAAUUUUCAUUCAACUCAAGACCCUUGGAACCGGAUGAGAAACCGCUGAAAAUCGGUAAAAUGACUCCGCUGGCGUGUUUUUGUGAGUUUAGUGACCUUUUGGGCCGCAAAAAAAGUUUGGUGACCAAAGGGUGCCAUUUUUAAUAGUUUAGUGAUCUUUUGGGCCAUUCACUCUUUAAUUUAUUGAAACAGUUGUCAAACCGAAUGGAAUAGGCAUUUCUAUCAGUUUGCCAGCUGGGAAAAAGUUGGGUUCCAUUUUAUCCGAAUUCCAUUUUAAAAAAGUUGGAUUAGCUGUUUUUUAGGGUGUUUGAUAGGGUGCGUUUUGAUGGGUUAUUUCACUGCUAUUUCACAGUUGUUGGAACUAAAUGUCGCUCUAUUAGAUGGUGACAGGUGUCGAGCCUGUGCAAUAAUAAAAAUAGAAUCUAAUUACCACUAAAAACAGUCAAUAAUUAAUCCUAAGUACUGGAGUAGGGAUUCUAGGUGUGCAAUGGGUUACUUGAUUCACCCUAUUCCCGAAAAGUUUGCUUAAUCCGAUAUAUCAGAAUUAAUUAAUUGACAAAAAUUACUAAAUAAUAGACAGUGGCAAGCAAGGUCGUCUCCUCAGGAAUUGGGGAUAUUUGUCUCUUUGAAAUUCCACUUGGUAAAAUGGGGGUUUUUCAGAAUAAAGUUACAAAUAAUUAAGCAAUUCAAAUAAAACGAAUAAUUAAUUAACACGAAUGUAGACAGGAAUUAAUUCAAGAAUAGAUAAGUUCCAACCAAGAAUACAACUACUCAGACACAGUCCAUUUAUCCGAUCAUUGAUGCAGGAGAGGUUCACUUAAUUUAUUAAUAGGUUAGUUAUAGUCGCCGAUGAACUCUAACGACCAAUUUUUUCUUAAUUUAUUGAUAAUCAAGGUACGACUAUUGAUUACCCCUAACUAGAAAAUACCCCUAUGCACGAUUAUAGGAAUUAAUUUUUCAAUUGCAUUAAUAUCUAGAAAAACUUAGCCCCAAUCAAUAACAUGCUACGAGGGUUAUUUAAAUUAGAUUGCACGCUCCCCUAGUGUGUAAACACGUCAGUUGCCACUAAUAUUAAUCAAUCAAACAAUUACGGAUUUAAUUGACUAACUUGGCAGGAGAUUAAUAAAUCACAUUGAACAUCGGACCCUUGACAUCCAAUUAAUAAAAUAAUCCCAUGAAAAUUCAAGCAGACAACGUGCAAAUAUUAAUAAAUUGAGAAACGCGUGAAAACGAAUUAGAUCUUACAGAUUUUCGGAACUGCACCGUCGAGUUAAUCCUUGACUAGAUGAAAGGCUUAAUCACGCUGCAUAAAUAAAUCUCUACGCAAAUUAAUUGAUUGCAAGGGCAUUGCAUCUUUUACUAGAAAGCAAGGAAUAAAAGAUAUUCUUCCCGUUGGAGAAUUUUGUCGAACACAAGGCACGCGCCUGACAAAAGGGAAAGAAAAAAAAGAGAACUAAAACUAAGGUUCCGUUUGAUAAAACUGAAUUCGAAUUCUGAAAUCUGAAUACUGAAACAAUUAAUUUGCUGAAUUUUAAGCACUGAAAAAAAUAUAUGAAUGUCUGAAUUUUAAUGCUAAACCUAUUUAUACGGUUUGAUAAAUAUUUAUAACCGAAUGCUUAAUAAGUUUAAUUUGACAAUUUUGCCCUUAUAUUCUUUCAUUCAAAAAAGAAAUAAAAUCUAUGAUUUAAUUAGUUUAAAAUUGUUAGGUAUGAAAAUGACAAUAUUUAUUUUUAAAUCAAAUUAAUAUAAAACAUGAAAUAUAUUAUAUGAGAAGUAUGGAGAAGAUGUAAAAGUCAUUAAAAAAAGAUAAAAGAGAAACUAAAAAUCGUUAGAUAGAGAAUAUUAUGUUAUUUAAUCAGAUAAGAAUUUUGAACAUAAUUAAGUAUCUGUUUGAUAACAUAAAAAAGUGCUGAAACUGAAUUCAUUCAGACAUUCAGAUGUUUUGGGUGUUUGAUAAAUAAAAAUUUUUCUGCUGAACUUAUUAAGUAGUGCUGAAUUUGUAUGUAUUUUUUUCAGCACAAGAAUCGUAACUGAAUGCUUAAUUUGAUAAGAAUCAAGAGAUUUACUUCAACUACUUUAUCUUAUCUAUCAAAUCUACCCUUGUUAGUUAAUUACACUCAAAAUU